This 52303-nucleotide long non-coding RNA is filed under the name Sorghum bicolor (sorghum). RNAcentral describes it as "long non-coding RNA (SBIC_LNC010307)". The record is from RNAcentral. Lineage: Eukaryota; Viridiplantae; Streptophyta; Magnoliopsida; Poales; Poaceae.
UGGAGUCUAGUUCGGUUAUUGAACUAAAAACUGCUUGUGUAGACAUUGGUAUAUUUUUGUCGGACUAACCCUUGCAGAAAAACUUUCAAUAUCGAUUUGGAAAGUCCUGAGAUAAACUCACAUCAGAGACGAAGAGAGUGACACAUGAAGUUUAACAAUUUGCACAAGAAGGACAUAGCUCAUUCAUCAUAGAGAGAUGAUCCAUGGAGGGUGCCACAAACACGAUGCACAACCGCUAAGAAAGGAAAGCUUCCAUAAGGUGAUACUGUACCAUCACUCUUCAAGCAAGGUAACAUCUUAAGGUACUUGACUAUCACUUUUAUAAGCUUCGCCUUGGUUCUGGCGUUCAUAUAAAUAAAAGAGACAAACAUGUAUGAUUUACAACUCUAGAUUAACCAACCCAACUGAUUCAACAUGUUUAGUCCUUUAACCCUUGUUUUUAGUACUACCUCCAUGAUCCCACACUCCUAAUCAUAUGAGCUAAAAUGUUACACAUUCAAUCAUUGAGAGAUAUAAAGAAAAAGACAUAUACAUAGAUAGAUUAUCUUUCCAUAAGGUUGAGCGAUCUGAUCUGACAAAUGUUAUAAGUGCUACACUCAUGAACUUUUCAUCCAUCAACUUUGUCUUGCUCACUAUGCUUAGGGUUAGAGAAGAACAAAUACACUUUAGGUUUUGUUGGUGUUUUCCACCAACAGGACCCAUGCACUUGAUCUCUGCCUUGUCUCUAUGAGCAGGUACACUUCGAGCAAAACACGGAGGAGUUUUAUAACUCUCAGACUCUACCAAGUGAAGGACCUGGAUCUACGAGCACAAACACACUAAGCAGGACACUGCCAACGCCGCACUUCAAACUGCUGGGCAAACGAAGAGGUGCAGACGUCAAGGUCCGCACCUGAAUCAAAUGACGCAUCUGAAGAAUGAACACGGUGAGAAGUCUUGUUCAGAAGACUUAAAUCAUUGAACCCUCGCCGAAAGGUAAAAUCGGUAAUUAUCCAUAUUUAUCCUUUCUGCAUUUUUCCUUAAAUUAUUUACUUUCCUUAAAUAGAUUAUUAGUUAAUCAUGCUAUCUUGAAAAGAAAAUAAAAAUGUUAAAAAAUACUAAGCCCCAUGUGAGUAUACGAGUGGCAUAAAACCCAUAAGUACCUUCACUGUGGUGGCAUAAAAAUAAAAUAAAUAUUUCUUUUCUGCUUUAUAAAAUAAAAAUAUAAAAACAGGGAGUAAUAUUUAUUGAGGGAGCUCAACAUGAUGAAGGCUAGAUAUUUAUGCUAACAUUUAAUUAGUUCCACAAGCUUUGUUGUCUAUUUGAGCUCCAUAGAAUUUAAGAAUCAAGAAGACUAGCAGACGGAGGACAUUCUAAUCGUUGUCACAAUGUUGCUUACUUUCAAAUACACCUCUGCCACCUGCUAGCUACAUCAAGAGAAAUUACGUCAAAAUUCAGCUUGGGGGAGAGCACCCCCAUUUAUCUCGCUAAGUAUUUCUACCUAUCUUUAUACUUAUAUUAUGUUAGAAUAUUAAAAUACAUAAACUAUGAAAAACCAAAUAAAGAUUUUGUGCUUAUAUAUAUAUAUAUAUCUUUUGCUUAGUGUGUUUAAUAAAUAAAUAAAGUGGCUAUGCUAAUCUGAAUCUUAAUAAUAAAACUCUAGCAUGGAUAUGAUGAAUAGUUGCUCUGCCUAAUUUGCAAAUUUGAAGUUCUCUCUCAAGUUUAGACACAACUGUUAUAAUUUAAAGCUUGCUCUAGAUCUAAACUUGUGGGAUGAAAACUUGAUCUGAAAUCUAAGUUGUUAACGGAUAUGAUAUGGGAAGGUUGAGCUGCUGUUUAUCUGUUCCUAGAGAUGCUAGAAUUCUGGAGAAUUUUAUCUUUGAAAAAUCUUCAAAAUAUUGCAUGAUGAGUUCCUGUAUGAUGAGAGUUUAAAUUCCUACCACAGCCAUAUAUACAUGCUUGCUAGACUUUGAGCCACACAUUUACUAUUUACUGCUUAUGUGUGUAGACCCUUAGGAGCUUGUCAUGUGGUUAAAUCAAGAUUCACUUGCAUGUUCACUCAUAUAUGCUACUUCUACUCUGGAAGUACCAUCCACAUAUAUCCAUCCAUGUCCAUCUCCAGAACCACCCAAAAAUAUUCUACUCCUAAUCCGGGAGAGAAUAGCCAAAAAUAUUUCUGUUUUCCCUUGUGAAAUAAAUGCUCAAGUUAUCUUGCUACGACCACUUGCUAUAUUAUCUCAAGAGAUGAGUGCUCUGAAAAAAAAGAGAAGAAAAGAAAAAAAAUAAACGAGGAAAUAAAAGGGGCAAGUGCCCGGAACCUCGAAAGAAAUAAAAAGUGAGACGAGAGGUAAAAAUGGACAAGUGUCCGAUAGUAGAAUUAGGGGUACAGGAUACCCACCUGAGAGGAAAGAAAAAUGAAAGAUAGAGCAUCUCAUUCUCCUCAUAAAGUUUCAAAAAGCAAGGAAGGUAUGUAUCCCCUCAAAAGAGCAAAAGUAGAAUCAGACUUUCACCAUUGUUAUCACCAUCAUCACCAUACACCAUUCAUUCGCCACACAUGCACAUCUUGAUUUGGCUUAUUGAUUUGUUUCUUUGGAUCCAUGGUUUGACUAUACAAUAAAUGUCUUGUAAGUAUGUAUACUUUAUCUCCCACCUAUGAGCUCCAGAUAUUAAAGCCUUAUUAGAGUAGGGUGAGAGAGAAGGCAAUGUCACUAUGCCUUAUACCACAAAUAACACAUAUCUUGAGAGAAGGCAUAUACCAUCACUGCCUUGGUAAGGAUCCAGAAAUACCACAAAAGAGAGAUUUAGAGAGUCAUACAAGGAAUCUCCGAGUUUUAUUUGAAAAUCUGCAAAAACUCCAGAGCUAUAGCUGAUCAAGAAUAAGAGACAUGGCACUUGGCUAGACUGUUCUAUCUUUUAACUACUCAAGACAGAAGUGACGGUUACAAGUCCCAUGGUGAAGGUAAAGUAAGUAAGUUUUAUUUCUUGACAGUUUACUCUAACUCAGAGAUGAGAUCUUAUUUAAAAGUAUGUGUACCGUCAAAUUUUAGGAUAUUGCAAAAACUUCUGAUCCAUUGCUGAGUCUAUCCUUGCUCAGGGACGAGCAAGAGGUAAGCUUGGGGGAGUUUGUUGACGGUCCUUAAGUAUCAAAUUUAAUUAUCAAAUAAACAAAGAAAAGGAUCCAAAUGAAAUCAACAUCUAGACUUAGGGUUUUAUCUGCCAGAAUUCCACGAGUUUUGGUGUUUGUCUAUUUCUGUAGGGUGUUAUCAGGAAAUAUGAAAGAAAGGCCCACACGUCGGGUUUACAUAGAGAUAUUAAUGUGCCGUGCAAUUUUCUACCAUCUAGAAGACUCCAGAAGCCACAGGAACGAACGGGAGGCCGAUCGGGCCCGGGGGCAGGGCGCCCACCCAAGUCCCUUGGGUGCCCGCCCAGCUACAGUAACCAAUCAGCUUCAACUUCGCGGAUCAUGCUCCACCGACCUAAUACUUCAAGGAAAACCACACGAUCAAUGUCGGUUUGAUCCGACGGCCCAGAUUCAUCUGAAAAGACUAUAUAACCAGACCCCCUGGCCCCUGGAGGAGGCACCCCUUGAUCAUUAUUCAUUAUUCAUAGACAGAGCAAAAGCUAGGGUUUAGAGAUGAGAGCUCUCCUCUCUUCUCUAAACUAGAGUAGAUCUAGAUAGUAGCGAGAUGGAGAGCGAAGGAGGAUUAGAGGAGAGGCCGGCCUGUCGGUUCUUCCUCCGGUUGUACUUCGUCAUGAUCAAGCUCUAAUCAAGCUUGCUCAUGGGAUGACUCUGGUAAUCUACUUCUAAUAUAUUAUGCAAUUACUAAUUAUGUAUGUUCUGGUUCACAACUCUUUUGAGUACUUCUAAUCUAUAGGACGCUAUAGGUUAGAGUUGUAGUAUAGGUGUAAGCGAGGUGCUUAGAUCUAGAUUACUUGUGGAUAUCCCCUGUCUAGCUGGAUCGUGUGGUAGGCCGCGUAGGUGACAGUUACUUUGGUCCUCUGUAGUCCACCUCUCGUUAGCAGGAUGGGUAGGGUUUAUCGGCCUAUGGAUAAGCAUCCUUUGUGGUGUAAUCUUAUCUCGUGGUUCGUCCCAGACAUAGACAUACCCCUUUGAAGUAGAGAAACCAUAGUUAUCCUCUCUAUUCUGCUACCAUCGCCCAUAUACUAGAUUGCUCUACUCUCUAUUCCCAUAUUAUCACCCAUUGUUAUCUUACCUUUAAUAUUGUUCUUAUUCAAUUCUACCAUCAGUUCUCCCGUUUCCCUGUGGAUACGAUAAAACCUUUAACCGGGUAAAAGCUUCAACGGUAUCCGUGCGCUUGCGGAUUAUCUGUGUGCGUAUAAAUACCAUAGUACACUCUAGUGCCAUGCUGGGGAUGACAACCUAGUAUUCAAGUGGUGUUAGCAAGUGUCAACAAUGGCUGGUGGAAGGAUGCUGCUAGCCUGAGGAUGGAGACGGUGACUACUAGUUAAUACCGAUUGAUCACCGGUGCCGAUGGAGAGCAAUUGGUUGCCGAUGCCGAUGGAGGAGAACGUGGAAAUUGUUGAGACUAGAGGGUAUGCCGAUGAAGCAGGAGCCGAUGGAGGUUUCAUCAUAAUUGAAGUGGGUACAGGAAUAUCAUUGGAGCGCGCGGGCCCAUUUCAUCCAUCCUCAGCGAUUGAGACAUCAACGGGAGUACCCAGCAAUGAUGAACCGCCGAGAGGACGAGGGCCGCCGUCAGACCCUCCUCGCGUAGACGCCUUAAUGCGUCGAGGAGAGGGCGUAGCCGGGACUGGUGGUUUUGGAUCACCCCGUAUUUCCAGUUGUCGAGGCGUUACUUGAUAAGCCGCCUGGUGUAGGCGGGGAAGAGGCCGUCAUCGUUGCGGAGGUAGAACCACUAGGAGUCCCACUGGGUAUAAAUUGACAUCAGCCCAAUGGGGAUGUAUUCUCGAGGCUUGUCCACGUGCCCUGUCUUCUGCACCAGGUUGAGGUAGCCGGUUUGCACCGGUUUCCUCACCUCAGCGGUCCCGCUGGGAGCAUGAAACAUCUCACCCCGGAAGAGGUGAAGCCACAACUCUUAGUGCGGCAUCACCCCCAGGUAGCCUUCACACACCACGGCGAAGAUCGCCACGGUGGAGAUAGCGUUAGGGGAAAGGUGCUGGAGUUCGACCCCAUAGUGCUGGAGAAGCACCCUUGUGAAGCGGCUUAAGGGAGAUCCGAGCCCGUGGCGGUGAAACUUGACGAAGGAAACCACGUAGCCCUCGAGUGGGCUCGGCUCCCGGUGUUCCGCCGACGGUGGGAUCCACUCCGGCCACAUCGAGGAGGUAGCAGGACGGAGAAGCCCCUCCCUCCAGAUCCCGCAGCCAGCGCUCCAUCACGGUCGACGAGCGCCAGUCGUCGGCGGCGAUAAGCUUCACCAGCAUGAGCGCGGCACGAAGGAGACGGUGGGGAAAGUUCUUCUUUACUGGUUAUCUCUCCUUUCCGGGCUCUGAUCUUCUCUGGUGCGCAGGAAGGUAUGAGAGGGAAGGGAAUGGAGGUAGCGGCGAAAGACGGAAGGAGAAGCAGUGAGACGGCCCCUCAAUAUAUAUAGGCGUGUCACAACAUGCAGAUCCGACAAUCACGGUAACUCCCUCCUCAAAUGUGUUGCCUAACGGUCCCAAUUUCCUCGCGAUAGGAUAUUAUGGUUUCCACCUAGGCAGGAGGAUGUUACAACGGCUCUCUCCUGAAAAGGUGCACCCAACGGGAAAAAAGAAAAACCGUUGCUGCGACUCCUUCCGCCGCAAGGUAAGUUCGGCCCUAGCCGCCGAUGAAACCUCGAGAGAGCGCAGACUGACCCACCGACAGGGUUCGAUAGUCACUCUCAAGUACACGAGUUAGGGACACCUAGAAGGAGGUCGAAAAGAGGCAUAGCUCGAAAGUUGAUCCUCGAGAUCCUACUGGGAGUAUCCAAGGCCGAGACUAGUAGGUCACGAGGAAUCCCCACGAAGGGAGGCGUCGAGCCGCUGGACCCAAUCAAACGGGUGACUAGUAGGUAACGAGGAAUCCCCACUAAGGGAGGCGUCGAGCUGCUGGACCCAAUCGAACGGGUGACUAGUAGUUCACGAGGAAUCCCCACUAAGGGAGGCGUCGAGCCACUGGACCCAAUCGAACGGGGCAAGUAACCUCACACACACUAGUCUGGCUUUAAUGAGAACGCCUUCGAGCUAUAGCCAACCCUCAUCGAACGGGGCAAGGGUUCUCACUUUGAUUUCCCAAUAACACUCAUUGAGGACGAUAACGCUCGCCCCAUUGGGGGUACGUCAUGCUCCUCACCGUGCGACCGAAUGAAAGGAAUCAGCAAACGUAGGCUGGUGUCAGCAAAACCACGAGCAAACGAAGCUCACGGGGCUCUACCAGGAGUCGAUACCCCUGGACGAAAGAAGGUCGAAAAUAAUCCGACCCAAGGCUAACACAGUCCUCGAAGGAGUCCACAGACUCCUCCGAGGCCUCGGGGGCUACCCCCACAGGGGCCGCUCACGCGCCCCACCACGGAAAUUCGAUCAAUUAAAUAAACCCCUACUCGAUCAUCAAUGCUCGAGCAGGGGCUCGGGGGCUAGAGUCGAGGGUGUUAGUAAGGGGUACCAUAACAGGCAUCUCUGACAGAGGGUACAAAGCCAACCCGCGAGUCGGACUCGAUGUCCCACUCCAUAAACGCACACUGAUCGAUGCCCUGACUCGACCCACGACGCGCACGAUGAUCGAUCCUGGUCUCGGUUAUGAAAAUAUGGUCGAGCAAACAACUAAAGGCUCGAAGCUAGGAGAUCCUUGAUUACGGAAAUGGCGUCGAGCGAAUCAGCUAGCCUCGAGCGCAAAAGCGCACCCCCGCCGCCUACCGCGGGUACAGGGUUCAGGGCAUUUAAUGCGACUGACAGGCUCCCACCUAACCCAGCAGGCACGGGAAACGUGAUGAUGGAUCGUGCGCCCAUCAAAUCCUACCUUUUCCCAGCUUUAUCCUCAAAAUCGGAGAAAGGUACGUGCAAGUAUAGUUGCAACAGGCGUAAUAUCCCAUCAAGAGGUCCCUCGAGAUGAGGUAGUCAGGGCUCUCGUACACGGGUGAUGCCUAAACCGCCAGACCCUCGAGCCCGCGUGCUCCUUCCCAGAGAAGGGUUGAGCGACGGAAGUCAGCGCUCCAACCACUCCCGACAUGAUGUCUGCUACAACGUACAAGCAUGCGUAUACGUGCACCAAUACCAGGCAACAUAUAGGAGGUAAACUCAGAGGGUGCAUGCGCCAUAAUCACCAAGUACACCACAACAAGACGGGUCGAGGCCACGCCGGUACAGAAGCCUAGAGUACGCCCACGCCAUACCCCUAUCGAGGUCUACUCUAGCGUCUAUGACCUGUAACCACAAGCCUCCCCUUGGACUACAAAGGGGACGCAGAGGCCGAGCUAGGGGGUAACUCACAACACACGAUACGUAGAACACCGAUCGCAUACACUCACGCAUUCAGGACUUAGAACCCGUAUUGAAUCCUUCUUGUACUCACCCCUGUACAAGCACUUAGGUGCAAGAUAAUACAAACUCGCUCCCCCGCUAGACGUAGGGCCCUCUUUUGCCCGAACCAGGAUAAACCCUUGAGUCCAUCUUGCAUCACCAUCCGAAAAGGAGAACACGCACACAACUUUACUUGUUGGUGUUACCCCCUGGGGUUAAAACACCGACAAAGGGCACUUAGAGUAGUUUAGCACUUUGUUUUUCCUUUGACCGUACUAGUAAGGGGGGCAUUGAGCGGGUAGCUUGACCUAGGCAAGGCUUUAGGUUUAGGUGUGGCGCACACAUGGUAAACCUAGCACUAGGCAGCUCUGAAAAAUCCUUAGAUCAAGAGGAACAAACUUUGUUUUAGAAAGAUCACGUUUCGACGAUGUUUGCUUGCUGAAACAGGCACCAGACGCUAGCACCGGACGCUCUGUGAGCGCGUCUAGUGGUGCUGACUUGAGUUAGCGUGUUUGGGUGCCUAGGGUUAGGCACCGGACGCACGCACCAGACUCACUGGGGUGCGUCCGACCCCAUACCCAGGGAGGUCUGCAUUUUGACCUCGCACCGGACGCGGGCACCGGACCCACCAUGGUGCGUCCGGUCCCGUACCCAGAGAGGAUUGCAUCUUGCCUCUCACCGGACGUGGUCUAGGUGAGUCACCGGACUCAUUGUGGGUGUGUCCCGUGCAUGGCAGGUGCAAGUACAGUUAGCCGCUAAUGGGGCACCGGACGCUCUGCGGAGUGCGUUCGAUGCUCCCGUUUUCUGAGGAAUUCGGGUGGCCGGCCCUUGGACUUGAUGGGGAGUAUUUAUACUCCUCCACCUCGUCCUUGGGAGGUCUCUUGCCCAUUUGAUCAGCUGAGAAACACCUUGUGGUGCAAGAGAGAAGCAAGAGGCUAGAGAGGAUUGAAAAUUGAGUGCUCUCUUAAGUGAAUCCCUCUCUAGUUGAGUUAUAAGAGUUCAAGUGUGCAUCCACCACUCUCUAGAGCCUUGUUUGGGUCAGUGAGAGUUCUUUGCUUGUUACUCUUGGUGAUCGCCAUCACCUAGACGGUUCGGUGGUGAUUGGAGGCACGAAGACUGCCUAGAGUUUUUGUGGGUGGCUCGUGUCAAGCUUGUGAGUGGCUUUGGGCGAUUCACCGCGACGGAGUGUCGAAGAAUCAGCCCGUAGAGAGCAUUUGGUCCUUGCGUGGAUCAAGGGGGAGCAAAGCCCUUGCAUGGGUGCUCCAACGAGGACUAGUGGAGAGUGGCGACUCUCCGAUAUCUCGGCAAAACAUCACCGUGUUCCUUCUUGCUCUCAUCCUUUACUUUCUAGCAUUUACUUUGAGCAUUUUACAUUCUUAGAAUUCCCAUGCUAGAAUAGGAUUUGAACUAGGUUGCAAAACUUUUAUCUAGUAGCUCUCUAGAACACACUUAGGCACAAGGGGUUGAAUUGGAGCUUACAGGUUGCUUAAAUUUUUAGAGAAGCCCAAUUCACCCCCCCCCCCCUCUUAGGUAUCUUGGUCCUUUUAGCCGGGAAGGGAUCCAUUUCGUGCGUGGGCAGGGAGGAGUCUACUGGUCACCAUUCAGUUUGACCCUCCACCGUGUGUCACUGGUCGGUGCCGGCACGCCAUGGAGGAGGUGGUUCCCACCACUCUUCAUAUCCUAGCAUUGAUCUAGUGGAGCCCACCGCAGAUCCGAUAGCUGAAGCCGAGAUCCACGUCCUCUACGUCGCACCAAGGUGCCUGAGUGAAAGAGAAGGGAAAAGAAUAAAUUGCUUGGUCGUACCCACGAGACAUGUCGUCGUCUUUGAGCUGUUGCUCAGCACGCCUUCGUCCCCACCUAGAUGCUUGCCUAUUGAAUGGCAGUGAGCACAUGGGGCUCCCUGUGCUCCAGCAAUGGCGGCAAGCUUGUGCGGUAUCUCGUGCUCUAGCGAUGGCGGCGAGCACUAUGGUGCGACAACCGUGGGGAGAGAGAAAGAGGAGAGAAAGGGAGAGAUGAGAGUACGAGGGGUAAGGCAUUGCACUAGGUUUGGUACACCUCUGUGGGGGGUUGUUCGCAAAUUUCUAGGGGUUUUGUGCAAAACGUUUACGUUAUCAAAGUUUUCAUUCUUUGCAUUGAAAUAAAGGUAUAUAUUGUACGGCGGGUUGAUUUCUAAAAACCUAGUGGGUGUUUUUGCAAAAUGUACAAGUCGAGAUGCGUGUCGUCAUGCUGAGACGCCACCAAUGCUCUGAAUUCUCUCGUGCGAACGAAGUAGAGUGGGUUUUAAUCAACCCCGAUUGACUCACUCUUUCUUGACCUAUUUUCAAUUGACUUGCUCUUUCUUAGCCUUUUAAGUGAGUUCUAGCUUGAGGUGACAUAGUUUGUUCCCUUACUUUAGCUUGUAUGGGACGGUGGAGAAUCCAUAUUGAAUGGACGAGGAAUUGGAUUAGGGAAAGAGAAGGUAACACCCAAAGUAUGUCUCGUCAUCAACAAACGUCAUCAGUCCUAGGCCUGCUAAUGGGGCUAAAUCCGCUCCAAAUCUGCCCUAAUCCACAAAAUUGAAGCUAGCCGACCUUCCUCAACCUACUACAUGCGAAUUUGGGCGAAUACAAGUACUGCCAAAUAAGGCAAUUGGGGUGAAUGCAAGGUGCUGCCAAGGCCUCACUACAUUGAUGCCCUCUAACAUGUUCAUCAUGCCCUGUGCAAGAAGUCAAUGGCGCACAGGUCACUGAUAAACCGACGUUGUGCCUUCUGCAAGAAAUGGCGAAUGGAUAAAAGUUUAAAAAGAACCACUCUCAUAAAAUUAUUAUCCAAAGUAUCAAAUAUACACCACACAAAGCUAGAUCACAAGAAAUGGUGAAAAACUGAAAUUAUCCAAAUAUCCUGGAUCAAACAUGUAGUCUAUGAUUCAGCAUCCUGAAUUUGAAAAUGGAUGAUGCGAACAAUCACCAUUGGAUAUGAAUUUGAAAUGUGUACAGGUACCAAAGGAAUACAUGGAUGACAGCAGGGUGUAUUAUCAAAUACAAAGGAAAUUGUAUGCUGGUGAAGCAGUAGAUCAGGCUCUGCCCGAUGCAAUCUCACUGAUGGGAACUUGUUAUGAGUAAAGGGCUAAAGGCACCAAACAGGGGACAGCACAAGUAGUGCAGCAGAAGGAGAGGAUCUAACUGUAAGUUGGGUUGAUAUGAGAAAGUAGUAGAUCGAUAUAGUACAUGAUACAUGUAAUAUAGGACAAGGGUGGCUUAUAGAAACAGAACCAUUCUCUGAUAUUCAUGUCAAAUACAACUCAAUCUACUGGUGUCUGGACUUGGAGUCCAAGGCAACACAACUAUAGGGGUUGGCCGGCUGUGCUACAUAUAUAUAUAUAUAUAUAUAUAUAUAUAUAUAUAUAUAUAUAUAUAUAGACUAGGUUAAUGCUCGUACGUUGUUACGGGUUUUAAAAUCCACAUACUCUAUGUUUCUUCAUUGUUAUUUUAUUUUUUCUGUCUAUAUUCUUUCUUUUUCAUUUCUUUUCAGUUUUUUGUUUUUGAUUUUAUUUUAUUUUCUGUCCUUUCCUUAUUCUUUUCUUGUUUUAAUUUUACCUUUUAUUUUCUUUUUCUUUUGGUUUUAUUUUAUUGUUCUUCCUUGCUUCUAUUUGUUUUUCUUUUUUCUUUUCAGAUUUUCUAUGUUUCUUCAUUCUUAUUUUAUAUUUUAUUUCCUUUUAAUCUUAUUUUUAUCCUUAUUUAAAUUAUUCAUUAAUUUUAUUUGCUCUAUGCACUUUUUAUCAUUUGUUAAUUAUGUCUAUUUUUAUAUUUUUUUUCUUAGUAAUUUUAUUUUUUAUUUUUAUUUUCUAUAUAUAUGUGAUAUAUAUGUAGUAUAUAUUUAGUGUUCUAUAUUGUGUUAUGUCAUGUUUACGUAAUAUAUAUUUGAUGUUCUAUGAUGUUUCUUACGGUGUUCACUUAGUAUACAUGUAAUCUAUAAUAAAUGUGAUGUUCUAUAAUAUAUUUAAUGAUGUUCUAUGAUAUAUUUAGUGAUGUUAAUGUUCUAUAAAUAUAUUUACGAUAUUUAAAAAGUAACCCUUUGACAUUAUUUGAAAAUUUUCUCCAUUUUGUGUUUUUUUCUUAUGCUUUUUACUCUAGAUUUUUUUUAUUUUUUUAUCUAUGUCAUGUAUUUAUGUAUUUUUAUGUAUAUUGUAAUAUCAGUUUCAUAAACCUAAAACCAAAAUACUAUUCUUCUAAAUCCAUAACAUUUUUUUACAAAGACAGAACAUUGUCUGUUGAACCUAGAAUAUUGUUUGUACUUAAUAAAAUAAAAUAUUUUAUCUUUAAAAGAUAAAUAUUCAUUAAUAAAAUUUUAUCUAAAUAUAUCCAUGUGUGAUCUUGUUUUGAAGGAUUUGUUACAAGAAAUUUAAUGGUACAAUCAGAAUUUAAUUUAUAUACCUAGUUUAGGAGUUAUGACUUUUUUUAAUUCGUUAAAACAAUUUUGCAUGCAUAGGUGAGUGGGGCCUAGGUUGAUGGGAUAGCGUGUCAUCGCGCAGUAAAAAAAGACCACCAAAGGGAUGAAAAUUGUGGACGAGUCCUCUCCAUAAUUUUUAGUUGUAGAGAUAAAUAUUAGUUAAUAAAAUUUUAUCUAAAUAUAUCCAUGUGUGAUCUUGUUUUGAAGAAUUUGUUAUAAGAAAUUUAAUGGUGCAAUCGAAAUUUAAUUUAUAUCUUCGGUUUAAAAGUUAUGACUUUUUUAAAUUUGCUAAAAUAAUUUUGCAUGCAUGGGUGAGUAGGGCCUAGGUUGAUGGGAUAGCCUAUGGGUGUGGUAGAUGGGUCCUUUCCAUAAUUUUUAGUUGUGUGUGUAUAUAUAUAUAUANNNNNNNNNNNNNNNNNNNNNNNNNNNNNNNNNNNNNNNNNNNNNNNNNNNNNNNNNNNNNNNNNNNNNNNNNNNNNNNNNNNNNNNNNNNNNNNNNNNNUAUAUAUAUAUAUAUAUAUAUAUAUAUAUGUAUGUAUAUAUAUAUAUAUAUAUAUAUAUAUAUAUAUAUAUAUAUAUAUAUAUAUAUAUAUAUAUAUAUAUAUAUAUAUAUAUAUAUAUAUAUAUAUAUAUAUGUCUAACAGUAAACAUGAGGGAGCCACAUAUUGUGCUUUUCUGUUAAUAAGGAAAAAAUGUACAUGUACAUGGGUGGACCUCAGGUCCAAAGAGAGAUCUUAAACUGUUUACAGUGAGCAUGACUCUAGCCAAUAUUGAAGUUUGACUAUAAUAUUGAAGUUCUCCUUCAAACCCUUCUUCCAAUGUUGGAAGGCCAGGAUGCAUCGUAUAGAAAUGAUAUCAUGCUUUGAACAGAUUGACCAAUCUAAAAUAUUGAAGUUUUCCUUCAAACCCUUUUUCCAAUGUUGGAAGCCAGGAUGCAUUGGUGGAAAUGAUAUCAUGCUUUGAACAGACUGACCAAUAUGUGAUCAAAACCUCCCUGAUGAUGUGCAAACCAACUAUCCAAGGCCCUGGAGACCCUUAGCCAAUAUGUCAAAAAAAGAGAGUAUAAAUAGGUCACAGAUCCCGAAGCAACAACAUUUCCUGCUGAGCAUGGGAAGAAGAGAUGAAGAACUUGGGACCCUUCUUGAGAUAUAGUGCAGGGGUCAAAAAGUUGUCCGGGUAGAUGUUUUUCCAGAGAAGCAAGUUGAGCAUGUUCAAUCUAUCUUUCAAAAGAUGUCAGAACAAGAACUUGGCCUUGCCAUGGCAACAGGAUUAAAUAACCAAGCAAAGUCUGGAUCAGCCAUGCAAAGAUCCCAAGAACAUUUUGUAGGAUUGUUUAGCGGAGAAAAUUUUAUUUCACAGAUAGGACCCAACUUUCCUUGUCAUCUUGACAAAGUGAAGGCCUCGAGCAUACUCAGAUUUGUAAGCUGAGCCAAAGCUUCCAUGGCAUUGUCAAUGAAUCAUUUGGUUUGCAACAGAAACUGGUGUGCCAAAAGCUUUUAUAUUUUUUUCCAAAAGGAAAGAGCUGGGGAAAAGACCAUUUCAAAAGAACAAAAUCCAUAAUCAAGCUAGAAUCUUGCAGUAGCUCCAUCCCUGAAUUGGCAAGUAGCAAGCAUCCUGAAAUUAUCAAGAAUAAACAGAAGAUCCCACACCACUAAAUGGUGCACACUCAUAUGUCAUUAUCUGAAAUUCAAGUGUUCAAGUACAGAGCUGUCUUAGUAAGGCUAACCCAACAAAGAUAGUGCCAAUUAAUAGAAGGGUCAUAUUUUGAACUAUCAAAUUUAGGAGACCCAGAGGCCUCUGUAUGUAAUUAUGUAUUGGAACACAAUUUGCACUCAAAUUAGAUCAGUAAACUGAUGAUAAGUAAUAAUAACAAAUUCAUGUACUACAAUUAAGGCCUUGUUCAGUUUCCAAAUUUUUUUGUUUCUGGGUCCUGUAGCACUUUCAUUUUUAUUUGGCAAACAUUGUCCAGUCAUGGAGUAACUAAACUCAAAAGAUUCAUCUCGCGAUUUACAGUUAAACUAUGCAAUUAGUUUUUGUUUUCAUCUACAUUUAAUGUUCCAUGCAUAUGCCACAAGAUUCGAUAUGACGGGAAAUUUUAAAAAUUUUUGGGUAGUUUUUGGGAACUAAACAAGACCUAAGCAAUUUAUAGCAUAAUAGAGUAGAUGAGCAAAAUGACCUUUCGGUGAUGUCGAUGGAUUCAACCUCAGAAUUAGAUCUUCAUAGGCCAAUAUCAGUACAAGCUUGGAAGCACCCAAACCUGCUUUCUUAAGGCAUCUAGAUCUGGUGCACCUUGGUAGUCAAUAGUGACGAGUUCAUAAGUGUCAUCAACUAAAGAGUACUCACUCCAACCUGCUGCCCGUGGCAGAGCCUCAUAUAUGCAAUCCCCUCGAAUUCCAGGUGAAUCUGGACCAACCCAAGCAUCAAAGCCAUUGCCAGACAUGAAAAGAGUCCGCCUUCCCAGGGUCAUAGCCCUCAACCACCUUUGCUCUGCAGGUUCCCACCGGAAAACCUUGUACUCAGGCUUGACUGAUACCUUGAAGAUGAGUAAGGGUUCACCAGCACACGCCCCAAGCAUGAAAUCCUUGCUUUCCAUCCAAGCAUCUCUGACAUGGUCAUCCACUUCCCCUCCAAGCAGCUUUAAUUCAACCUUAUUGUCCAUCAGCUCUGCGACUGCGAGCUGGCACGUGUUGAGGAGCGCAUAUAGGACGCCAUUGACAGCGAGCAUGCCGACCAUCAUAUACAGGCCACCGAAGAGGCUGCCACCGCAGCCCCCGAGCCGGCAAUACGCCUCCCGCCAUCGGCCGUCCCCCAGGCGGCAGUACUGAACCCACCCAGGUGUGAUGAGGAGGACGAGGUCGCCGGCGAGGACUGCGCGGGAGAACAGGAAAGGAGCAUCGGGGACGCGAACCCGGUCGCCGGAAAGAAGGUGGAUGACGGAGAGCUCGCGGGCAAAGUGGUCAAAGGUGACGACGCGCGCGCCGUCGGAUGCAACGACGGCGCUGGGGAAAGGGGAGGGCGCACGGAAGCGGAGGAGGCGGCGGCGCGGGAGGUGGAUGAGGGCCAGCGAGCACGGGGAGGAGGCGUGGUGGGGCACGAGUAGAUGCGGCGGCUGGGACGCGAGGACGGCGCGGGAGGGUGGCAGCGCGGCGCGGUAGGAGCGGCAGGCGGCGCGGAGGGCGAAGAAGUCCUGGAGCGUCGUCAAGUGCCGCGCGAUGUCCGGUAUGAGCUCCGCCGGUAGGUACGGCGCCGCGGCGACGAGGCGCUUGUCCUCAGCCAUCUGAUGGGAAGGAAGGAUUGCGAGGUGGGGACCAGGCGGCGACGGCGGUGGCGAUGUCGCCGGAUCUGAGGAGUGAUUAUUCUAGAAUUUUUUUUAUUUUUAGUCCAAAUUUAAAACAAAUUUCGAAUUUAACCCGCUUUGGAAAGUAUUUUCAGAAAUAGACCGUUUGGUCCCGCUACCAUGUAUGGCGGCGGAGUAGGACAGCCACAUGGUGCUCGGUUGGCGGGGCUGGCUUACGUGGACCCCGCCACCAGGGAUGGCGGGUUAGGGCACCCCGGCUUACGUGGACCCCGCCACCAGGGAUGGCGGGUUAGGGCACCCCGCCGCCUAUUAUGGCGGGUUACAACCCACCGCGUAUCAUGGCGGGAUACCCUGUCAGAGAAAAUGACCCGCUCUUUGUGUCUACUCCCAGGCCCCCGCCCUUUCUGUCUGAUUUCAAAUAAAUUUAUUAAAAAUUUAAAUUUAAAUAUCUAUUUAAUGAUAUUAAUUUUAUAUUAUAAAUAUUAAUAUUUUAAAUAUAUCUGUAAUUAAAGUUAUUUUUCAAUAAGAAAAAAUAACAGAUUUAAAAACAGAGACAUGAGUGGCGCAGCAGUGCGCACAGUGCUGCCGCACACUGCUGUACAGUACCGCUGCACAGUGCGGGGAGAUUUGUGCGCAGUGGUGUCCUAUGCUACCUCUUCAUUCUUAAAUAUUUGGUGUUUUCGCUUCUAAAAAAACUUUGAUUAAAUAUUUAUUAAAAAUAUUAAUAUAUAUAAUAUAAUAUUAGUAUCAUUAGAUAGAUAUUUAUAUCUAAUUAUUUAAUAAAUUUAUUUGAAGUUAGAAAUAUUGCAUAUAUUUUUUGUAAACCAGCUAAAGUUAGUAUCAUGAAAAAUUUUAGGGUUUUAAAAGAAAACAAAGCCGUAGACUAGAAAGAGGAGUAGUCUGGUAUGCUAACCAAGCAGCAGCCGGCGACGCCCAGCAGCAGCAAAGGCUGCCAGGAGCCCACGACCCUCGCCCUUGUUUAGUUUCCAAAAGAGCGUCUCUUUUUUUUCAUUAUCUUCUGUGGGGGCAACUCAUCAUCAUUUGCCCGUUUAGUUGGUAAUAAAUAAAGGCUUUGUCAAAAAUUUUAGGUAGUAGCGUAGCAUUUUCGUUUUUAUUUAACAAAUAUUGUUUAAUUAUGGAAUAGGCUUAAAAGAUUUAUCUCGUAAAUUAUAGUUAAACUAUAUAAUUAGUUUUUAUUUUUAUCUAAAUUUAAUACUUUAUGCAUGUGUCGCAAGAUUCGAUGUGAUAUGAAUCUUGAAAUUUUUUGAUAACUAAACAAAGCCAAAGUGUUGUCACCUACAUAGUCUCCUCAUCAGUCAUCGUACAGUACAUGCAUGCAUAGCGGCAGCUUUCCUAGCAACAACACGUGACAGGAGAGCACAGUGAACCGCCGCGCCGGGUCGUGGUCUGGUGGUGUUCAGGCCUAUGAUGAUGUUCAGGGGCUAUACAUGCAUAUGAUGAUGUUUUGUUUAGUUCCUAAAAUUUUUAAGAUUCCUCGUCACAUCAAAUUUUACGGUACAUGCAUGGUAUAUUAAAUAUACAUGAAAAUAAAAACUAAAUGUACAGUUUAUUUGUAAAUCGUGAGACAAAUUUUUUAAGCCUAGUUACUUUAUAAUUAGACAAUAUUUAUCAAAUAAAAAUAAAAAUACUACAAUGUUGAAAUCUAAAAAUUUUGUGAACUAAACAAGGCGUCAGGCUGGCCCGUGUUGCUGCUGCUGCCUGCUGCAUGCAAAGACCGGCCAUGAUGCAAUGACCUUGGCCUUGUUUAGUUGCGAAAAAAUUUCGGAUUUUGGCACUAUAGUAUUUUCGUUUUUAUUUGACAAAUAUUAUCCAAUCAUGGACUAACUAGGUUUAAAAGAUUCAUCUCGUGAGUUACAGGCAAACUGUGCAAUUAGUUUUUAUUUUCGUCUAUAUCUAAUGCUUCAUUCAUGUGCUCUAAAAUUUCAUAUGACGGAAAAUCUUAAAAAGUUUUUAAUUUUUAGGGUGAACUAAAACAAAGCAUGCAUAGCGGCAUAGCCUGACACCGGCUUUCUACUGAACCCGCCAUGAUCCACGGCGGGGUCAGCUAACCCGCCAUGGAUCGUGACGGGGUCCACGUCAGCACGGGCUGGCAGGUGGUAGCCACGUGGCAUCUCUACUCCGCCGCCAUGCAUGGCGGGGUACUGUGUAUUUGCCCCGCCAUGCAUGGUGGCGGGGCCAAACGGCCUAGUUUUAAAAAUAAAUUCAUAACCGGGUCAAAAUUGAAAUUUGUUUCAAAUUUGAGCUAAAAAUAAAAAAAAUUCUUAUUCUAUGGGCAUGACACCGUGAUUUGUUAGAACAAGAGUAAUCCUAUACAACCCGACAGUUGGUUGAUAUUUUUACCAUGAAUGUUAAAUUAGACAUUAGAAUUAUAAAUUUUUAUAGGUCCUCAAAAGAAGUUAUGGCCCACAACCAAUUAACUUGAUAUUUAAAUUUAGCUACAUGAAUAGUAUGAAAAUUAAACUUAUGAUAUACUCCCUCCGUCCCCAAAUACUGUUAUUUCUAACAGAUUUUAGACAGAUUAGUGUGGCAAACAAAAGACCAUUCUACCCUCAAUUAAUUUGGGUUCCACCAUUUAAUCAUACACGUUAAGCCAAGGUUCUCUGGUUCCAACGAGCUGCAUUUAAUGCCAACUAAACAGAUGUCGAGGAUAUCAGUAAGGGGUACCCUAACUCAUGUGCAUAACAAGAAUACCCGUACGCAAGUCGAGGCCUCCAACUCGACGCCCUACCCCGUUAUACGCACGGUCCUCGACGGUCCCCGGCAACCGUAGCCUCGAACACGGAAAGAGCGUCCUGCGAAUCAACCAGGGCUCGAGCGUCGGCCACCGUCGAAUACGGAAACAGCUCGAGCGAAUCGGAAGGCGUCGAGCGCAAGGACGCCGCCCGCCGCCUGAUGCGGGCACGAGAACCAGGGCAUUUACUGCGCCUGUCGCGUUCUCACCUAACCCGCCAGUCACGGGAAGCGUGAUAGGGAGCAGGCACCCGUCCUGUCAUUCUUUUUGCAGCCUUCCUCACCAAACAAGCCAGAACGUGGCAGGGCGCAGGGAGUGGGUCGGAACGUCUAAUCAAGGCCUCCCUCGAGACGCCCAAGGUCAGCGCUCUGGCUAGCAAGGCGUUACACGACAUCCGAUUCUCGAGUAGGCACGUUUCCUUCCUGGGAAAGGGUCGGGCGUCGAAUGACAACACUACAACCACUCCGACGUAUCUGCCACCAUGACGUACAAGCGUGCAACGGAUAAACCGGUCCAGGAGCGGCGCACAGAGCGGGAUACUGGGGCACGCGUAAUCAUCAUCAAGGUACCGAGACAAGAUGGCUCGAGACCACGCCGGUACGGAGGCCUCGAGUAGGUCAGCGCGCCAUACCUCUAUCGACCCCUACUCUGACGCCUAUACAUGUACCCUAGACCCCUCCUUGGAACUAUAAAAGGGGAGGCCUGGGAGCGGAUACAGGACACGCGAUACAAAAACAACCCAACACGCAAGCCAUACGUAGUAGAGCGAACUCACUCCAUCUCCAUCCAUACCACGCUUGUAUUCACCCCUAUACAAGCACUUAGGUGCAGAAUAAUACAAACUCUCCCCCCCCCGCUGGACGUAGGGCCUUCUCUUGCCCGAACCAGGAUAAAUCUUUGUGUCUUUUUGCAUCACCAUCUGGAAAAGGGAGCACGCAUCCAAGUUUUACUCGUUGGUGUGACCCCCAGGGGGGAAAACACCGAUAGUUGGCACGCCAGGUAGGGGUCCUGCGUGUUUUUCACCGAUUUCCCAUUCCUUUCCAGAUGGCCACUCUCGUUUCGCCGAUUCCGCGCUCCACGGUGAUUUGGUUCAAGAGCCUCGAGUUCAUGUCUACAGGUUUUGGCUAUGACAUGAUCUUGCUCUCGGACAAAGGACCGGGAGGAGCUCGCGUUACACCAGCACGAUUGAGGGCUCUGAGACGUCCUCACCACCAUGCCUCCCCGCCCAAGAAGAGGCGUGGACAGCACCACCAUCACCCCUCUGCCUCCACUAUGCCAAAAAAGCUAAUUAGUGACGCGUCUAGAUGAUCUUUAGUGACGCGGAAAGCACGCGUCACCUUUAUCACGUCUCUGAUGUAAAUAUAUCAGUGACGCGUGUACACGCGUCACUGAUAUAAAUUACCAGUGACUCGUCUUCACUACACGAGUCACUGAUAUGAAUUUUCAGUGACACGUCUUUACUACACGUGUCACUGCUCUGAACAUACCAGCGACGCGUAUUGGCUAUACGCGUCACUAAACUUUAUAUAGUAGUGACGCGUUAAUAGAAACUGAGUCACUGGUAAGGUCAUUUUAGUGACGCGUUUUAGUUUUGAGUCACUAUUGAGGAGUCACUAAUUAGCUUUUUUGGCAUAGUGCUCAUCACGAUCGCCAGUUCGCGCCAGGCGGAAGGUGAUCCAGGAGCCGACAGCUCCGCGCGCCAAAACUGCGGGCACGAUGGCCCGACGCCACAAAAACCACGCAACGACGACGGGAGAUAGCGUGCCUUUGCGCACUCUCGCCCGCCACGACGCUGCUUCCACACGGGUUGUUCGCCACAAGAAGAGCGUUGCCGUUCGGGCUGGACAACGCCGCAGCAUCGCUCGCCAGGACGAUAUGUCCAAACGCCCAGACGUACAUGGAAAGACCGAUGGUCCUCCCACGCGACAAUGGAGCACGGCCACAGACGUCCGAGCUGCCAGACUUCUCGCAGGUACGAGCCCUUCGCCGCCUAGGCCCUGGGCGGUACACGAUUACCUCCCUCAGGUAGCGGCUGCUGGAGGAAGGACGUGGAUGCUUCUACGCCACCGAGUCGGACUCCGGCUCUGAGUCCGACAGCUGCGACCCUACUAGGGAGUGCUUCCAUAUCGACGGAGCGGUAGAAACUACCGACGAGACGCAAGACGCCGUUGCUGGCGGUCGAACCCCUGCAGCGAGGGAAGACCCCAGGACGCCUGGGAACGACGGACAGGUCGACCCACCUCCACAAGAAGAUAGAGCCGCACAACUUGCGCAGCUACGAGAGCUCAAGACAAAACUUGACGAAGAUCGUUUGCGCCUCGUCCUGCUCGAGCAAAUCCUUGAGCAGGACCUGCCAUACCCGCCUGGCGGAAGUGUCCCCAGAAGGGCUCGAGAGGUACAUUGACAGAUCGUCGGGGACGGGGAGCCAGAACAACCUGUCAGCCGCUUCCCUCAAGCAGGCCAGAACGUUGUGGCAGCAACGAUGUUGUUGCGUAACAUGCCCGAGCCCUCGAACUCCCAAGCACGGCGCAUCCGAGACGAGGUGCAAAACUCUGCUCCAGGUGGCGGCAGUUUAGCAAGCAGAGAGCUCGGCCUCCCGACGUCGAGGGGUAGCUACAGAAAAGCGUGAUGAGCCAGCCCAGAACGAAAAAGAGGUGUCAGUCCAUCAGCAGCCACCUUCUCGAGGGAAAAAGACAGCGCUCGUCCUCCACCAUCCCGUCGACAACCAACAACGACACGACGCACGACGCGACAUCGACGAAAAUCGUCGCCGUCAGUAUGGGGACGCAGAAGAGCAUGGCUACAGCGCCCACCGCGGCGGGAGAUACGACAGCGACGAGGACCGGAUGGCCCCGAAACCACCGGGCCCUCGGGUGUUCAGCAGAGCGAUCCGCAGCACGCCGCUGCCUAGCCCGUUUCGACCCCCCACUAGCAUUGCUAAAUACAAUGGUGAAACUAAGCCAGAACUGUGGCUGGCGGACUUCAGGCUAGCCUGUCAGCUGGGAGGCGCUCGGGGGGACGAUCGAGCCAUCAUCCGACAACUACCACUCUUCCUGUCCGACACCGCCCGUAGAUGGCUCGAGGAGCUUCCAGCCAACCAGAUCCACGACUAGAUUGAUUUGGUCAGGGUAUUCGAGGGUAACUUCAAAGGGACCUACAUACGGCCCGGCAACUCGUGGGACCUCAGCAAGUGCAAGCAGAAGUCAGGAGAAACACUUCGAGAGUAUGCUCGACGCUUCUCGAAGCAGCGCACCGAGCUGCCGCACAUCCCUGACCACGACGUCAUCCUGGCCUUUGUCUCAGGCACCACCAGCCGAGAUUUGGUGCGGGAGUUUGUCGAUGAAAGCUGGUUGGCAGUCUACCUUGGGAUAUACCCACGGUAGUAGUUUAUCGGUAGACGGUGCGCAAGCUACGAACUCGAUGGUGACGCAAGACACGGACAAGCUUUUUAUCCAGAUUCGGCCGCCGUGUGUGCGUAAUACCUACGUCCUGCGUCUGAUUGUAUUGGAUUGUGUUGAGAUAAUAAUGUGUCCUAAGGGGGUUCCCUUGCCCCUCCUUAUAUAGUCCGAAGGGCAGGGUUAAAGAUCUGGAAACUAAUCCUAAUCGGUUACAAUUGCCAUAGAUAGUUCGAUAUCAAUUCCUAUUCUAACCGACUAGAAUCCUGCUUGAUCUCCACGUCUUGUUUCCUUGCAUGAAACUCCGAGCAGUCGGAUCAAGCCUCGAACUUGUCUCGUAAUGGGCCAAACCUCCUGGCCCAAGUCUAGCCGUAAGGGUAUAGGGGUUUAUACCCCCACAGCUAGUCCCCGAGCACCGUGUAUUGUGAUGUAACACGCCAUCUUAAGCUUCUUCGAUCAGCAAAGCUUGACAUUUUCGAUUAGCAUGAAAGCCGCCCAAACAGUUGCAACAGUAUUUUGACCAACUCAAAAGAUAGUUGAUCAACAUCGUCAUCGAAGGAGCAGGUUGUUCGAAGAAUGCAUGGUGCUCUUGAGAAAAAAUAUUUCUUUUCUCGAUGAAGUGUGCCCACUUUACUUUUUUUAAAAGUAUAGUCUUUCAAAAAGCAAGCAUAUUCACCGCAAGGUGAAGUGUGCCCACUUAGUCCCCGAGCCUGGUAGUAGGUGACGUAGGCACGUGGUGCCAGGGUCAAAAAAAGUCUUCAUAGAAAUUCUAAAACUGAAAUGCACCGCCAGAUGCAUCGUACGGAUGUAGUCCCCGAGCUUGCUGGAAGGCGAAGUAUGAGUCUUGUAGCAAGGUCUAAAAAAUUAAAAUUAUCCAGUCCCCGAGCAUAUCAUGCUCGUUUGCCAUCGUAUAGACUUAUCAACCAGUCCCCGAGCAGAUAACGCAUGAUGGUUGGUACAGUCCCUAGUUCUUCGAACUAGCAGACUAGUCGACCAGCCCCCAAGUGUGCAGUGCUCAGUGGUUGGUACAGUCCCCAGAUCUCCAAACUGGCAGACUGGUCGACCAGUCCCCGAGCAUACAGUGCUCGGAGGUCGGUGCAGUCCCCAGAUCUCCAAACUGGCAGACUGGUCGACCAGUCCCCGAGCAUAUAGUGCUCGGUGGUUGGUGCAGUCCUCAGAUCUCCAAACUGGCAGACUGGUCGACCAGUCCCCGAGCAUACAGUGCUCGGUGGUCGGUGCAGUCCCCAGAUCUCCAAACUGGCAGACUGGUCGACCAGUCCCCAAGCAUACAGUGCUCGGUGGUCGGUGCAGUCCCCAGGAACGUUGAUACUCCACCAAUUUUUGUCUUUUAUUUGAAAAAAGCAUCUUUUCGCAUUAAUGUGUGAUGUGACGAGACAUCCUGGCACGUUAUCAGAUGGCUGUGUGAAAAGGUACGCCUGGCAACUGUACAGCCGCUCUUUGCGCGGUUCAAGAAAAGGAAACCAUCAAUUGUAUAAAAAAUCCACCGUAUUAACUGCCGGUAAUUGUUGAAAACCGAAACGUCGUAUCCGCCGCUGGGCCCGCUCGCUUCCCAAGAAUGCGGGAAGUGGAAGGGGUGGAGCCGUUGUCUAUAAAGGCUUGACUCUUCGCCCAUAAUCGUUACCUUGCCAUUGCUUUCAAGCCCUCUGUUCUUGAUGAGGACAUCACUCCUUCGGAUGCACACGAUGAUCCUACGCUGGAUUUUCAAGGUCCAAUCACAAGAGCUCGCGCGCGACAACUAAAUUUACAGGUGAGCUCGUUCCUAAGCAAGUCUUUAUAUGAUUUUGAGAAUAGAUUGCUACCUAAUGAUUAUAUUGUGCUUAGGAAUCAUGGAGAGGACCAGGGGAUGCAUAAGGGAGGGCUUGGAGGCGUGGAGGACCAGCAAGGGCGCCCAAGUCAAGGUGGAGGCCCAAACCAAGUCGACUUCGAGCCUGUUUCGGAGUCCAGGACCAGCGAGGAGUAAAACAGACGCCCAGGACGCAUCCGGACUCCGUUUUCGACGAUCCACCCAUGGUUGGAAAGAUAAUUUCAUAAGGAAACCAAUGGCAUUGGUUUGAGGUCCAAAUUCCUUCUGAGUCAUUGGGAAACGUCAAAACAAGUCAGCGUCCAGAAUCUGUUCCAGUGCUGCGUCACCGUUUUUGGUCUGUUGGGCCGUGUAUCGUCGUUGAGCCCAUUAGGGGGGCGUGUCCAGGGGUGGCGACGACCCUUAGACCUCUAUAACCAGCCGCCGCCACUCUCAUUAGGUUUUGGGUUUUGCUUAGAUUAUUCUGUCAAGAACAGUUUUGCCGCCGCGUCGGUUUGUGAGACUCCAACUCGUGAGAUUAAUCAUUCAUCUGCAAUUUGGUUGCAUUCUCUCUUAUUUUUGCUUGUGUUCUUCGAUUUGCAGGCAAAGGACUCAGCCUUCUUGGCGAGGUCGACCGUGCAUCGACGGUCGAUAACUAGAGGAGACGUGGUGCUGCGAUUGUGGGGUUUCAGGACCGAAUUGUUCGGAAGCCGGAUCAAAUUGUGUCGCGACUCCACCAAAUCGAGAGUUAUCAGAACCUUUCGGAAGAUCAGGAACCCUAGUUCACAUCAAGUGGUAAUCAGAGCCUCAGGUUUACCGUCAGGUUCGCCCUUAUCCUAGUUUAGUUGUGUUUCACUUUGUCCUAAAAAUCCAAAAAAAUUGCCCUACAAAAAUACUUGUGUUCAUCUUUGUUUUCCCCAAGUCCUAUCACCCGUUGUGGCCGUGCAAUAAUUUUAUUUCAGUUUGCUUUAUUGAACGGUCGUCCCUCGUUAUGUCAUUGUGUUCGUUGGUUUAGAUAAGUCUAGGUCUGGUUUGUUGACGUCCAUCAGUUUGAUCACACCUUUAUUUUUAUUUUUUUUCUGUCAGCAAAUCGUGCUCUGGUUUAUCUGGUACUUUGUACAUUGCGGCAUAUUCUGUAAAAAGAAAAAGAAAGAGCCACACAAAAAAAAGUAAAAGGCAACGAGCUGCCAAAAAAAAAGAGAGAGUAAAAGCCGCAGCAAAAAAAAUAAAAUAAAAAAAAAGUGAAAAGAAUUUCAGAAGUGCUUGCAUCCUUUGAGUCUCCACGCCGAGUUGUAUUGUUGCUUGCUUGAACUAGGUCUUGGAUAAGUUUAGGCCGGCGACAUAGACUAGCUUGGGACUACUUUUCAAUCUUGAAAUUUCUAAAUUAAAUUAUUGCUAUUCCUUGCUACUAUAUUUUAAGCCUUCCUAGAGCUCCACAUAUUGCUUCUGGACAACACAAGUUUUGACCCCGUAAUCUCAGCGCUACGUCUUCCAAGUAUCCGUGCCUUGCUGGUAAGAACCGGUCGGAACUUGUUAAGGUGUUCCAUUUGCUGUGAUUUUUGAGGCACCACUCCACCUGAGUAGUAGGAUUAUUAGGGAUAAUUUUUACUGUUUGUUGCUUGUGUUUUGUGUCUACAAUGGCAGGUGACGACGGAGAAGAUAAUUCACCCAAAGAGUUUUCAGAGUGUGUCAGCCAAGAGCAACUACAAUCGGUUUUAACCAAUGCUCAGAAAGAUAUGAACGAGACAGUAACAAAGGCUGUAACUGCAGCACUCAUUGACCUCAAGAUCGGCAACACCCUUGAGAGAUUGGACAAACGACUGUCCGCUCUAACUGAUAGGGUAACUGCCUUAGAAGCCAGGCCACCACCCGAAGAAGAUAUUGAUGGCAGCGACGCUGGUGAUGAGGUAUAUGAUGCCGAUGGCAAGAUUGAUCGAGCAGCGACAAUGAGAAACAGAUUACGUCAUCGUCUUCACACAAACACCACAGGUAUGGGUGGCGCUCAACAUUUCAACCGCCAUCGAGGUAAUCGUACUCAUGCUCCCGAUGAUCCUUAUGCUAAGGUUAAAUUUACAAUACCUUCCUGUUCGGGACAUUAUGAUGCUGAGGAAUACCUAGAUUGGGAGAUGACAGUAGAGCAAAAAUUUAGUGCCCACCUUGUGCCUGAGCAACAUCACAUUAGACAAGCCACUAGUGAAUUUAAAGAUUUUGCUAUCAUUUGGUGGACUGGUUUAGUUGCAGAUAAUUGCCAACCUAGAACUUGGGAAGAACUUAAGGUUGCUAUGCGUGAUAGAUUUGUGCCUCCAUCAUAUCAUAGAGACCUACGUAAGAGACUGAUGCGUUUAGAACAGGGAGAUAAAUCCGUGCAGAAUUACUAUGGUGAGCUCCAAAAAGGUUUGAUGUGUUGUGGCAUAGUAGAGGGACCCGAGGAUUCGAUUGUUCGUUUUUAUGCAGGUUUGAGGGAGGAAAUUCAGGACAUAGUUGAUUAUAAGGAAUUUAACACUAUCAACCAGUUGUUUCAGUUUGCUAUGCUUGCAGAGAAGGAGUUGCAGGGGCGUGACAAGCAGGGCAAGAGAAAGGGUGGUACCUCAUACACACCGCGCAUGGGGCCAUCUUCCGGGCUUCCCAAGGCAUCCUCUUUUCGGGCGCCUCUACCAGCAAGCAAGCAGACGCCUUCUUCCCAACCUUCCGGGUCAGGUAAAAAUUCUGUGCAGGAACCUUCGAAGAGUGCAUCCUCCAUUGCCUCAACGGGACGCACUUCUGGCAUUCAGUGCCACCGCUGCCAUGGAUAUGGACAUGUGCAAAAAGACUGCCCAAGUAAGCGGGCAUACAUUGCUACAGAAGAUGGGUACAUCAGUACCUCUGACGUUGAAGAUGAUGAAGAAGAAGAACCUAUUCAGAGAGACGGCGAGGUCUUUGGUAGCGGGGACACUUCAGCCUACAUGAGCAUCAUUGUGCAGCGAGUGCUCCCGCACAAGUACAACAACCUGAGAAGCUACAACGCCACAAUUUGUUCCAAAUUUUCUUUGUCAUCAACAACCGACGAGCACGUGUCAUCAUUGAUGGGGGUAGCUGCAAUAAUUUGGUGAGUUCAGAUUUGAUCAAGAAGCUUGGUUUGACCACGCGCCCACACCCCCAUCCGUACCAUAUUCAGUGGUUGAAUGAUUCUGGUAAGGCUAAGGUAACAAAAACUUGCAGAGUUUCUUUUUCCAUUGGUACCUAUGUUGAUUCUGUUAAUUGUGAUGUAGUACCUAUGGAAGCUUGUUCACUUUUAUUGGGUCGUCCUUGGGAAUUUGAUAAUGAUGCUAUACACCAUGGUAGAAGUAACACAUACACUUUUGUUCAUAAAGGAAAGAAAAUUACUUUGAUACCAAUGACCCCUGCUGAAAUUGUACAGGCUGAUAAAGAACGAGCUGCUAGUUUGCAUGAUGUUAAAUCUGAAAAUCAGCAGGUUGCUAAUUCUGUUUACCCACCUAAAAAUGAUAAGUCGACACCUAAUUCUAAGGCCGAGGAAAUUAAAUUGAAGGGUGCAGUUAUGCUUGCAAUAAAAAGUGACCUUGCUGAAAUUUCUGAUGAUGAUAUUUGCUACAGUUUGGCUUGCAAACGAGUCUUGUUUUCGCUUGAUGAUAAUGUUGGCUCGAUACCUCCUGUUGUCACUAGCCUUUUGCAGGAGUAUGAGGAUGUUUUUCCAGUUGAGAUACCCCCGGGGCUGCCACCUAUGAGAGGAAUAGAGCAUCAAAUUGAUUUGAUCCCGAGAGCAACAUUGCCAAACCGAGCUGCUUAUCGAACCAACCCCGAGGAGACUAAGGAAAUUCAGCGACAAGUCCAAGACCUUUUGGACCGUGGGUAUGUACGAGAAAGCCUUAGUCCUUGUGCCGUUCCUGUGAUUUUGGUUCCUAAGAAAGAUGGUUCAUGGCGUAUGUGUGUUGAUUGUAGAGCCAUUAAUAAUAUUACUAUUCGAUAUCGUCAUCCUAUUCCUAGGCUUGAUGACAUGCUUGAUGAGUUAUGUGGCUCUGUCAUUUUCACAAAGGUUGACUUGCGUAGUGGCUACCACCAAAUUAGAAUGAAACUUGGCGAUGAAUGGAAAACAACUUUCAAAACUAAAUUUGGAUUAUAUGAGUGGUUAGUAAUGCCUUUUGGUUUAACUAAUGCACCUAGUACCUUCAUGAGAUUGAUGAAUGAAGUUUUAAGAGCUUUUAUUGGGCGAUUUGUGGUGGUUUACUUUGAUGAUAUAUUGAUUUAUAGCAAGUCUUUGGAUGAACAUAUGGAUCACUUACGUGCUGUUUUUAAUGCUUUACGUGAUGCACAUUUAUUUGGUAACCUUGAGAAGUGCAUCUUUUGCACGGAUCGAGUCUCUUUUCUUGGCUAUGUUGUUACUCCACAGGGAAUUCAAGUGGAUGAGCUAAAAAUUGAAGCCAUAAAGAGCUGGCCGGUUCCCCAAACCAUCACACAGGUACGAAGUUUUCUUGGUCUUGCAGGUUUCUAUCGUCGCUUCGUCAAGGAUUUUAGCGCCAUUGCUGCACCCUUGCACGAGUUGACAAAGAAAGGUGUGGUGUUCAAAUGGGGUAAGGCACAAGAGGAGUCCUUUGACACUUUGAAGGACAAGCUUACACACGCGCCAUUGCUACAACUUCCAAACUUUGGUAAGACUUUUGAGCUAGAAUGUGAUGCUAGUGGCGUUGGCAUUGGAGGUGUGUUGAUGCAAGAAGGUAAGCCCGUUGCAUACUUUAGCGAAAAAUUGCAUGGCCCUGUUCUUAAUUACUCAACGUAUGAUAAGGAAUUGUAUGCACUUGUACGUUCUUUAGAGACGUGGCGUCAUUAUUUGUGGCCUAAGGAAUUUGUUAUACAUUCAGAUCAUGAAUCGCUUAAGUAUCUUCGAUCUCAAAAUAAUCUAAAUCGUAGACAUGCUAAGUGGGUUGAAUUUAUUGAAUCUUUUCCUUAUAUUAUCAAACACAAGAAAGGAAAGGAUAAUAUAAUUGCUGAUGCUUUGUCUCGACGAUAUGCUUUACUGUCCCAACUUGAUUGUAGAAUUUUUGGGCUUGAAUCAAUAAAAGAACAAUAUGUGUUUGAUCCUGAUUUUAAAGAUGUGUAGCUGAAUUGUAAAGAGGGUCGUACAUGGAACAAGUUUGUGAUCAAUGAUGGAUUUGUGUUUAGAGCUAACCGUCUGUGCAUUCCAGUCGGUUCCGUUCGUCUGUUGUUGUUGCAGGAAGCGUACGGAGGAGGACUGAUGUGCCAUUUUGGUGCUAAGAAGACGGCGGAUAUUUUGGCCACACACUUCUUUUGGCCACAGAUGAGGAGAGACGUUGAGCGGUUCGUGGCACGCUGCACCACAUGUCAAAAAGCUAAGUCUCGCCUAAAUCCACAUGGUUUGUAUAUGCCUCUUCCUGUUCCUUCUAUUCCUUGGGCAGAUAUUUCGAUGGACUUUGUUUUGGGAUUGCCUAGGACUAAGAGGGGGAGGGAUAGCAUUUUUGUUGUUGUGGAUCGAUUCUCUAAGAUGGCACAUUUUAUACCAUGUCAUAAAAGUGAUGAUGCCAUUUAUAUUGCUGACCUUUUUUUCAAAGAGAUUGUUCGCUUGCAUGGUAUGCCUUCUACUAUUGUUUCAGAUCACGAUGCUAAAUUCUUGAGUCACUUUUGGCGUACUCUAUGGAACAAGUUGGGUACAAAACUGUUGUUUUCAACAACUUGUCACCCACAAACCGAUGGACAAACGGAGGUAGUGAACCGUACUUUGGGCACCAUGUUGAGAGCUGUUUUGAAAAAAAUUUGAAGAUGUGGGAAGAAUGAUUGCCUCAUGUGGAGUUUGCUUACAAUCGGGCAACACAUUCUACCACGAAGGUAAGUCCUUUUCAGAUAGUGUAUGGUUUUAACCCCUGUGCUCCCAUUGAUCUUUUGCCUUUACCUACCAAUGAAAGAACACAUAGUGAUGCUAGUGCACGUGCUGAAUUUAUUCGUAAGUUGCAUGCAACCACUAAAGAAAAUAUUGAAAAGAUGAAUGAAAAGUAUAGAAUUGCUGGUAGUGAAGGUAGAAAAGAGGUUAAACUUGAACCGGGUGAUUUAGUAUGGUUACAUUUGAGAAAAGAUAGGUUUCCAGAGCUGCGUAAGUCAAAAUUAAUGCCAAGAGCUGCUGGUCCUUAUAAAAUUAUUGAGAAAAUAAAUGACAAUGCAUACAAACUUGAGUUGCCACCCGAGUUCGGGGUUAGUCCUUCUUUCAACAUUUCAGAUUUGAAGCCAUAUUUGGGAGAAGAAGAUGACCUUGAGUCGAGGACGACUCCAAUUCAAGAGGGGGAGGAUGAUAAGGACAUCACUCCUUCGGAUGCACACGAUGAUCCUACGCUGGAUUUUCAAGGUCCAAUCACAAGAGCUCGCGCGCGACAACUAAAUUUACAGGUGAGCUCGUUCCUAAGCAAGUCUUUAUAUGAUUUUGAGAAUAGAUUGCUACCUAAUGAUUAUAUUGUGCUUAGGAAUCAUGGAGAGGACCAGGGGAUGCAUAAGGGAGGGCUUGGAGGCGUGGAGGACCAGCAAGGGCGCCCAAGUCAAGGUGGAGGCCCAAACCAAGUCGACUUCGAGCCUGUUUCGGAGUCCAGGACCAGCGAGGAGUAAAACGGACGCCCAGGACGCAUCCGGACUCCGUUUUCGACGAUCCACCCAUGGUUGGAAAGAUAAUUUCAUGAGGAAACCAAUGGCAUUGGUUUGAGGUCCAAAUUACUUUUGAGUCAUCAGGAAACGUCAAAACAAGUCAGCGUCCAGAAUCUGUUCUAGUGCUGCGUCACCGUUUUUGGUCUGUUGGGCCGUGUAUCGUCGUUGAGCCCAUUAGGGGGGCGCGUCCAGGGGUGGCGACGACUCUUAGACCUCUAUAACCAGCCGCCGCCACUCUCGUUAGGUUUUGGGUUUUGCUUAGAUUAUUCUGUCAAGAACAGUUUCGCCGCCGCGUCGGUUUGUGAGACCCCAACUCGUGAGAUUAAUCAUUCAUCUGCAAUUUGGUUGCAUUCUUUCUUGUUCUUGCUUGUGUUCUUCGAUUUGCAGGCAAAGGACUCAGCCUUCUUGGCAAGGUCGACCGUGCAUCGACGGUCGAUAACCAGAGGAGACGUGGUGCUGCGAUUGCGGGGUUUCAGGACCGAAUUGUUCGGAAGCCGGAUCGAAUUGUGUCGCGACUCCACCAAAUCGAGAGUUAUCAGAACCUUUCGGAAGAUCAGGAACCCUAGUUCACAUCAGUUCUUGCCAUUCCUUCCUCUGCAACCUCCAUCCCUGAUCAUCCAGCUUGCGAGUGCUUCAGCAGCUUCAAUGGCAAAGAGCGACUCGAAGAAAAGGAGUGAGCUGAUGGCGAAGGAGUGGAAGAAAUCCCGGAGCAGCGCUAGGUCUCUGAACGAUCUCGUCGGCAUGGGGCUGCUGCACAGCCAAGAGCUCGGUGGCUGGAGGGCGCCGGAAGGGGAGAGUUAUCUCGACCCUCGUGCUGGUGAGAUCGUUGUUUUUGAGGAUUUUUUCAAGAGGGGCUUUGGGAUUCCUGUCCAUCCUUUUCUCUCCAGGGUCUCCUUCUUUACUACGAGAUCGGGAUCUGCAAUCUGCAUCCGAACUCCAUUCUCCUUAUUUCUACCUUCAUCCAUCUGUGCGAGGCCUAUGUUGGAAUAGAGCCACACUUCGAUCUUUUCCGCUAUCUUUUUUGCUUGAGGAAGAAGGGUGCAGUUGGAGGUUCCAAGGUUGCAGGUGGAGUAUACCUCAAUCUGCGUGACGGGAUGACGAACCGGUAUCUCAACUGACCGUGGAAUACUUCUCUCACCGAAUGGUACAAGAAGUGGUUCUACGUCAGGGAAGAGCCGGGCAGCUCCACGUUCUGUGACGUGGGCUACAUUCCCGAGAAGAGGGUCAGCUGGACGGACCGCCCGCAGUUCGCUGGUCAGGUGGAAGACCUGAUGAAGCUGAUCGACUGGUCCCGUUUGGACGGGCCAGGAGUGGUCGGCAACUUCAUCUGUCGUCGGAUGAUGCCCUGCCAGAAGAGGGUUCACUCGGCGUACGAAUACGCUGGGAGCCAGGACCCGACCAGGAUGAGUCCUGAAGUUUUAGAGAAGGCGGAAGUGCAACAGCUGCUGAACGAGCUGUUCAACUUUGCAGACGACAGUUUUGUCCGGAGUGGUGGUCGGAUGCAAGCCUUCAAGCUUGGACAACCAGCUCCCAAGGUAAUAUUACUGACUGAAUUUACUUCCUGAGUACUCGUUCGCCCAGCUAUCGACUUAUCUUUGAUGUUGCUGCAGACUGGAGACGUUGACCGGUGCGCAGUGUACAUAUCACUAGCACCCGACAUGGAGAAUCCCGCGGGAAUAGACCCGCCAGAGGACGACGCUGCUGAGUGUCCCCGAUACACCAGCAGCGAGGAGGAACAGAACCGCCCCGCCCCGACCACCGAAGACAGAGUGGCGGGGAAAAGGCCGCUGGUGGCGGAUCCGUCUCCUGCGGAGACGCUGCCGACGGAGAGCAGCAAGGUGCCGAAGCACCGUCGGCUCGUCCAGAUCACCGACGACGACGAGGAGGAGGAGGAGGCCGUGCCUUCUCUGGUCCGGAGGUCGCGCAGUCAUCCGGACGUUGCGCCGGCUACCACUGGUCGGGUGACCAGCGACCCUCCUGCACCGCACGUCGAGCCGACGCGCGUCGUAGAGACGGGGGCGCAGGCACCGACCGGUAGGACCAAGAGGAGAUUCACCAUGACACACAGGAGCUCUGACCUGUAAGUUUGCAAUCUUACUUUCGUACUGCGAUAUUCUGUGUUUUGUUGCUGUUUCUAACACUGCUUAAAUGCCGUUUUGUUGUUUAGCGCGGCAUCAGACGUCGACCCUGACCACGUUGCUGGCCAGAGGGCGGCCGAGCCUGUAGCUGCCGUUGGGGACGCCGCGCCGCAGACCACGAAGAAGCCUGCGGCGACAACCGCUGCUACGAGCACCAAGGAGCAUCCGGCCCCGGCAAGUGCCACGGCGAGGACACAGACGAGGAACGAGGAGGCUGCGAGGACGCCUCCCCCGAGUAACGUUGUGGAGGAGGAGGGCAGAGCCCCGACUCCUCCACCAGCCGAAGAAAGGGGAGUCCCAACACCGCCCCGAGCAGGGGCCUCGUCGCCCGCAGGCUCCCCUGGCCUAAACCAGGGGCCAGUGAUGCCUACGACCACGGCCGGUGGCAGUGCGGCGAACGAGGAGACCCAGACGGCCUCUAACGAUGACGUGGAGGAGAUCCAAGGUUGUCCCCAUGACGGCCGCCAGCACGUCUACGUGUGGCGCCAACACGGGGACCACUUCAUCGGACAUGAGGAGCUCGCGGAGACGGAGGAGGCCGCGAGGGUGGAGCGCGCAGCAAAACGUCUCGUGGAUGAGGUUAAGGUAAGUGGUCCUUUGUGCUGCUCGACGCUUAUGCGCUAUGUUCCUGGGUUCGACAUGUAUUCUUCUUGCAGGGCGCAAUGAAAACGGCGAAGUACCGGAAAAGGUGCUUCGACCAAAUUGAGGGCAUUGUGGCUGAAAACAAGGCCCUGUCCGCGGAGGUGGAUCGGCUUCGGUCGGAAGCUGGGGAGAAGGCGGCCGAGAUGAGUGCUCAGGAAGAGCACCUUCUCGACCUCAAUCGGCGGUUAGCCGACCAGGAUCGUCAAAGGAGAGGUCAGUCGCGUACUCCGAGCACCUGUUUGUAGCCACGUGGUUAGUUUUGUUGACCAGGGGAUUGUUCCUGCAGACUUAGAGGAGGAGGUUGCACGCCUCCGGCAAGAGAAGGAGCAGCUCGGCCAGGAGCUUGCCGGGGCGCUGGAGACCGGGCGCCGAGCCAGCGAGGACCUAAGCAACAGGAAUCGGGAGUUGUCUAGUAAUAACCGUGCCACCCCUUUUUUAUUUGGUUGCUCAACGUUCCUUUCCUUAUUUGUGCGCUGACCUCCUGCUUGGUUUGUAGUGCUAAAGGUGAAUACCAAGAAGCAUUUAGACGAGCUGAUCAAGGACCGGGACUCCUGGAAGACCAACUGCAUCAAGCUUUGGAAAGGAGUGGCCCCGGUUCUUGACUUGAUCAGCCCCGAGCUCCCUGAAGACCAGCCGCGUUCGCCGAGACUGACGCCGGUCGAGAAGGCGCAACGAGCGUGGGACUGGCUCCAGCAGUUCGUCAAGGACGCCGGGGAAUUCACUGGUGCGCACGUCCUCAGCAUGGUGCGCGCCCACUAUCCUCUGGUCGACCUGUCCAGGCUGGAGAGGGGGUACCCCAAGGAGGUUGGUCCGCAGGAGGCAGACGACCUUCGUGCUGGCCUGCUUGACUUGUCGUCGACAGUGAUCGGCGACAUCAACCUUUGUGGGACGGCCACUCCCCCCGACCAGCCGGGAUCAGACAGGUCUGCCAGGGAGUUGUCGGGAGCGUCCAUUGCUGGAGAUGGGCGGUCGACGCCUACGGUCUCGACCAGCCAGGCGCCGGUGGCCCCGACCCCUUCAUCUGAGCAGCAAGGCCGAGCGGGUGAUCAGCCCGAGCAGUAGGCCUGUAGGAUAGUCUGUAGAAGUAGACUAGGAACCGCCCAGCGGGGUGUUUAUUGUAAAUUCUAUAUGUAAAGUUUGUAAUAAAGUUUGAUUUUGUCAUGACCAUGAUUUUGAGCACUGCAAUGUUAUCUGAGUGAUGUAUCACUGUGUUUGAUUAAUAAUCGUUAAGGAUCUUCGCCGUAGAGGAACAUUUGUUGUGCUCGUCGAAAGCUCUGCGUGUAAACGAUAUAUAGGAAAAAAAGAAAACUUUUAUUAUUGCUAAUUAUAAGAAACUUACAAGCAAAAGGUACUGGAACUUAUGGAUAGAAACGGCACAGUUUGUCUAUGUGCCAAGAAUUGGGCAAGCGUGUUCCAUCUGGAUACGCCAGUCUGUAGGAUGUAGGGCGUGUGACUUCGGCGACCACAAAGGGUCCUUCCCAAGGUGUGGAUAACUUGUGCGCUCCUUCCUGGCUUGUUUUCCACUUGAGUACCAGAUCGCCGACCAUGAAGGAACGGUCUUUGACGUUCCUGUUGUGGUAUCGCCUGAUGGCUUCGAGAUACUUUGCUGUUCGAAGACAUGAAAUUAGACGCUUUUCCUCCAUGCAGUUGAUUUCGAGCUCCCUGGUGCCGUCAACCGUUGACUGGUCGAAGUUCUCAACUCUUGGAGAUCCAAAGGUUACAUCAGAUGGGAGCACUGCCUCGGAGCCAUAAACCAUGAAGUAGGGUGACACGCCUGUAUUGCGACUAGCCUGUGUUCGGAGACCCCAGACCAUGGCCGGUAAUUCUUUCAUCCAUCGACCAGGUGCUCUGUCGUUCUUGGUGUACAACCUUUUCUUUAGGGCAUCAAUAAUCAUUACGUUCGCGCGCUCUACUUGACCGUUUGCCCGUGGGUGAGCUACUGACACGUACUUUAUAACUAUGCCCCUAUCAUCGCAGAAGUCCCAGAACGUAGUGCCAGUGAACUGAGUGCCCAGGUCGGUGAUUAUGCUGUUGGGGAUCCCGAAGCUGUGUAUGAUUUGAUUAAGGAACUCCACAGCUUUCUCGGAGGUUGCUUUGACCAGUGGCAUGUAUUCGAUCCACUUUGUGAAUUUGUCGACUAACACGAAGACGAACUUGAAGUUGCCGGGAGCCGAUUUAAAUGGACCGAUCAUGUUGAGGCCCCAGCAGGCGAAAGGCCAGGACGAUGGCAUAGUUUGAAUCUCGUGAGUAGGUACGUGGGUCCUCUUAGCGAAGAACUAGCAUCCUUCACAAUGUCGGACUAGUUUCUCGGCGUCGGCGACCGCGGUUGGCCAGUAGAAACCUGCUCGGAAGGCCUUCCCGACCAGUGUUCUGGAGGCCGCGUGAUUGCCACAGGAUCCGGCGUGUAUGUCAUUUAAGAGCUUGAUGCCAUCAUCUUGGGAUAUGCAUUUGAGCAGCACUUCGGAACUUGCAUUCUUUUGCAUAAGUUUGCCAUUGUUGACGGUCCUUAAUGCUCAUAUUUAACCAUCAAUUAAUCAUGGAAAAGGAUCCAAAUGCAACCAACACCUAGACUUAGGGUUUUAUCUGACAGAAUUCCACAAGUUUUGAUGUUUGUCUAUUUCUGCAGGGGGUUAUCAGGAAAUACAGAAGAAAGGCCCACACGUCGGGUUUACAUAGAGAUAUUAACGUGCCGCGCAAUUUUCUACCAUCUAGAAGACUCCAGAAGCCACGGGAACGAACGGGGGGCCGAUCGGGCUCGGAGGCAGGGCGCCCGCUCAACUCUCCUGGGCGCCCGCCCAGCUACAGUGCCCAAUCAGGACACGUUUCGCGGAUUAUGCUCCACCGACCUAAAGGAUCAAGGAAAACCGUGCGAUCAAUGUCGGUUUGAUCCGACGGCCCAGAUUCACUUGAAGGGACUAUAAAACCAGACCCCCUGGCCCCUGGAGAUCAUACCUCUUCUACAGAAUCAAAGCUAGGGUUUCAAUUCUUCAUCCAAGUAGAGAGGAUCCCUCUAGUUCUUCUAGUUCUACCUCUAGUUCAUCUAGAUCUAGUUCUAGUUCAUCUAGUUCUAGUUCUAGUUCCUCUAGUUCUAGUUCUAGUUAGUUCUAGUUGUAAUCUAGAAAAUAGGGAGAGAGAAGAGGAGAGCAGAGGAGGAGCCGGAUCUGUCGGUUCUUCCUCAACAUUGUACUUUUGCAGCAUCUGGUUCGUUCUUCAUCGUUCUCCAGGUUCUUCAAUUCAUAACUCCUGAGUUCUCUAAUUACAUUUAUUUACAUUCAAGUUAUUUAUUGGAUUCCCGCUUGCAUCAAGUGCUCUAAUCUUUGAAACAUUAGAGUAGUAAUUAAUAGAUUAGACGUGGUGUUUAGUCUUGCAAUUACCUGGAAUUGCACCCAAUCCUGCGGAUUGUUGUGGUAGCCCUAGGGUAGUGACAGCCCUAACGGUCGACGUAUUCCACCACGUUCGGAUCGGUGUUUGUAGGACCGUAGUUAGACCUUCCUAGCCCCCUUCUCAUCUCUUUCUGUGGUUAGUGCUCUGAUGUCCCGAUAUAGAUAAUCUUGAAGUAAUUCUUGAUUCUUAGAUCAACUAGAGAACUCUCAGGAAACUUCCUCUCUUCCUACCAAAAAUAUUCAUAUAGUUAUCCUUGGGCGAUUUUGGAUCUUAAUUAUUACACUCACGUUCUCUGUGGAAAAUCGAUACUCUGGAAUACUCCCGGGUGAAGGCUACAUCGGUAUCCGUGUGCUUGCGGAUUUUUAUGUUUGCGUUUAAAAUACCCAACAGCCAUCCACCAGUAUGUAAUUCUUGGAUCGUCGAAUGAGGCGCUCGUUCUCCGUUUUGUCCUGAAAGCCCGAUCCGUUCGAUAUAUACUUGAUGAAAGGAGUGCGCCAGUCGCGGCUUGUGGUUGUCAGAGUAGCGUCAUCUACGAGCAUUGCCUCAUUAGGUUGCUUUUCGACCAGGUCUGUGUCCACACUCGGCGCGUGGAUGUCCUGAACGAAAACGUCGUGCGGGAUCUGGGCCUGAGACGACCCUAACUUUGACAGCGCAUCCGCUGCCUGGUUCUUAUCCCGGACCACGUGGAUGUACUCUAUGCCAUAGAAGUUGGAUUUCCAUUUGUGGAUUUCUUUGCAGUAGAGGUCCAUCUUCUCGUGGGUUGUGUCCCAUUCCUUGUUGAGCUGGUUGAUAACUAAGGCAGAGUCGCCGUGGAUGUAGAGGCGUUUGACUCCUAGCUCGAUGGCUAGUCGUAUGCCGUGUAGGCAUGCUUCGUACUCAGCGACGUUGUUUGACGCCGGAAAGAGGAUCCUAAGGACGUAGCAUAGUUUGUCCUUGUUAGGCGACACGAAGAGAAUCCCGGCACCAGCACCGUUGAUGUUUAAGGACCCGUCGAAGAACAUUGACCAGUGGUCGGAGGUGUCGGAGACGGAAGGUUCGUUGAGGUCUGUCCAUUCUGCGAUGAAAUCGACCAGGGCCUGAGACUUGACGGUAGUGCGGCUCUAGAAGUCCAGGGAGAAUGGGCAUAAUUCCAUUGCCCAUUUUACAAUUCUGCCGUUGGCAUCCUUGUUGCGUAGAAUGUCCCCUAGAGGGAAGCUGGUGGUUACCAAGAUCCGGUGGCCGUCGAAGUAGUGCUUAAGCUUCCUGGACGUUAUUAGGAUGGCGUAUAUGAGCUUCUGUAUCUGUAGGUACCUGGUCUUGGACUCGUUUAAGACUUCGCUUAUGAAAUAAACGGGUCUCUGGACCUUGUAGACGUGGUCUAGCUCGUCUCGCUCGACCACUAUUGCCGUGGAGACAGCCCUAUUUGUUCCUGCGAUGUAAAGGAGUAGGUCUUCAUUGGGCUGAGGGGCUGUGAGUGUUGACACUUGCUAACACCACUUGAAUACUAGGUUGUCAUCCCCAGCAUGGCACUAGAGUGUACUAUGGUAUUUAUACGCACACAGAUAAUCCGCAAGUGCACGGAUACCGUUGAAGCUUUUACCCGGUUAGAGGUUUUAUCGUAUCCACAGGGAAACGGGAGAACUGAUCUACGCUCUAACUUAACCAAGAUAAGUAAAUAGGUGUAAAUAGGAAAGAUGGUAGAAUCGAAUAAGAACAAUAUUAAAGGUAAGAUAACAGUGAGUGAUAAUACGGGAAUAGAGAGUAGUGCAAUCUAGUAUAUGGGCGAUGGUAGCAGCAUAGAGAGGAUAACUAUGGUUUCUCUACUUCAAAGGGGUAUGUCUAUGUCUGGGACGAACCACGUGAUAAGAGUACACCACAAAGGAUGCUUAUCCUUAGGACGAUAAACCCUACCCGUCCUGCUAACGAGAGGUGGACUACAGAGGACCAACGUAACUGUCACCUACGCGGCCUACCACACGAUCCAGCUAGACAGGGGAUAUCCACAAGUAAUCUAGGUCUAAGCACCACGCUUACACCUAUACUACAACUCUCACCUAUAGCGUCCUAUAGAUUAGAAUACUCAAAAGAGUUGUGAACCAGAACAUACAUAAUUAGUAAUUGCAUAAUGAAUUAGAAGUAGAUUACCAGAGUCAUCCCAUGAGCAAGCUUGAUUAGAGCUUGAUCAUGACGAAGUACAACCGGAGGAAGAACCGACAGGCCGGCCUCUCCUCUAAUCCUCCUUCGCUCUCCAUCUCGCUACUAUCUAGAUCUACUCUAGUUUAGAGAAGAGAGGAGAGCUCUCAUCUCUAAACCCUAGCUUUUGCUCUGUCUAUGAAUAAUGAAUAAUGAUCGAGGGGUGCCUCCUCCAGGGGCCAGGGGGUCUGGUUAUAUAGUCCCCUCAAGUGAACCUGGGCCGUCGGAUCAAACCGACAUUGAUUGAAUGGUUAUUCUUGAUCCUUUAGGUCGGUGGAGAUCUCCCGAGAGAAAGAGUCCUGAUUGGGCUCCAAGUCAGGGCGGGCGCCCAGGGUAGGAGGGCGGGCACCCUGCCUCUGGCCCCGUUCGGCCUCCUCUUCCUUCCCGUGGCUUCUGGAGUCUUCUAGAUGUAAGAUAAUUGUGCGGCACGUUAAUAUCUCUAUGUAAUCCCGACGUGUGGGUCUUUCUUCCGUAUUUCCUGAUAACCCCCUGCAGAAAUAGACAAACACCAAAACUCAUAGAAUUCUAUCAGAUAAAACCCUAAGUCUAGAUGUUGAUUUCAUUUGGAUCCUUUUCUUUGUUUAUUUGAUAAUUAAAUUUGAUACUUAAGGACCGUCAACAAACUCCCCCAAGCUUACCUCUUGCUCGUCCCUGAGCAAGGAUAGACUCAGCAAUGGAUCAGAAGUUAUUGCAAUAUCUUAAAAAUUUGACGGUACACAUGCUUUUAAAUAAGAUCUCAUCUCUGAGUUAGAGUAAACUGUCAAGAACUAAAACUUCCUUACUUUACCUUUCACCAUGGGACUUGUAACCGUCACUUCUGUCUUGAGUAGUUAAAAGAUAGAACAGUCUAGCCAAGUGCCAUGUCUCUUAUUCUUGAUCAGCUAUAGCUCUGGAGUUUUUGCAGAUUUUCAAAUAAAACUCAGAGAUUCCUUGUAUGACUCUCUAAAUCUCUUUUUUGUGGUAUUUCUGGAUCCUUACCAAGGCAGUGAUGGUAUAUGCCUUCUCUCGAGAUAUGUGGUAUUUGUGGUAUAAGGCAUAGUGACAUUGCCUUCUCUCUCAUAAUAUUCUAACAAGGUUUUGAUAUCUGGAGCUCAUAGGUGGGAGACAGCUAAUAUAUACUUACAAGACAUUUAUUGCAUUGUCAAACCAUGGAUCCAGAGAAACAAGUCAAAAAGUCAAAUCAAGAUGUGCAUGUGUGGCGAAUGAAUGGUGUAUGGUGAUGAUGGUGAAAACAAUGGUGAAAGUCUAAUUCUACUUUUGCUCUUUUGAGGGGAUACAUACCUUCCUUGCUUUUUGAAACUUUAUGAGGAGAAUGAGAUGCUCUUCUUUUUCUUUCCUCUCAGGUGGGUAUCUUGUACCCCUAAUUCUACUGUCGGACACUUGUCCAUUUUUACCUCUCGUCUCACUUUUUCUUUCUUUCGAGGUUCCGGGCACUUGCCCCUUUUUAUUUCCUCGUUUAUUUUUUUUCUUUUCUUCUCUUUUCUCUUUUUUUUCAGAGCACUCAUCUCUUGAGAUAAUAUAGCAAGUGGUAGUAGCAAGAUAACUUGAGCAUUUAUUUCACAAGGGAAAAUAGAAAUAUUUUUGGCUAUUCUCUUCCGGAUUAGGAGUAGAAUAUUUUUGGGUGGUUCUGGAUAUGGACAUGGAUGGAUAUAUGUGGAUGGUACUUCCAGAGUAGAAGUAGCAUAUAUGAGUGAACGUGCAAGUGAAUCUUGAUUUAACCACAUGACAAGCUCCUAUGGGUCUACACAGCUUGACCACACUCAAUGCUCAUAAGCAGUAAAUAGUAAAUGUGUGGCUGAAAGUCUAGCAAGCAUGUAUAUAUGGCUGUGGUAGGAAUUUAAACUCUCAUCAUACAGGAACUCAUCAUGCAAUAUUUUAAAGAUUUUUUAAAGAUAAAAUUCUCCAAAAUUCUAGCAUCUCUAGGAACAGAUAAACAGCAGCUCAACCUUCCCAUAUCAUAUCCGUUAACAACUUAGAUUUCAGAUCAAGUUUUCAUCCCACAAGUUUAGAUCUAGAGCAAGCUUUAAUUAUAACAGUUAUGUCUAAACUUGAGAGAGAACUUCAAAUUUGCAAAUUAGGCAGAGCAACUAUUCAUCAUAUCCAUGCUUGAGUUUUAUUAUUAAGAUUCAGAUUAGCAUAGCCACUUUAUUUAUUUAUUAAACACACUAAGCAAAAGAUAUAUAUAUAUAUAUAUAAGCACAAAAUCUUUAUUUGGUUUUUCAUAGUUUAUGUAUUUUAAUAUUCUAACAUAAUAUAAGUAUAAGGAUAGGUAGAAAUACUUAGCGAGAUAAAUGGGGGUGCUCUCCCCCAAGCAGAAUUUUGAUGUAAUUUCUCUUGAUGUAGCUAGCAGGUGGCAGAGGUGUAUUUGAAAGUCAGCAGCAUUCUGACAGCGAUUAGAAUGUCCUCCGUCUACUAGUCUUCUUGAUUCUUAAAUUCUGUGGAUCUCAAAUAGACAACAAAGCUUGUGGAACUAAUUAAGUGUUAGCAUAAAUAUCUAGCCUUCAUCAUGUUGAGCUUCCUCAAUAAAUAUUACUCCCUGUUUUUAUAUUUUUAUUUUAUAAAGCAGAAAAGAAAUAUUUAUUUUAUUUUUAUGCCACCACAGUGAAGGUACUUAUGGGUUUUAUGCCACUCGUAUACUCACAUGGGGCUUAGUAUUUUUUAACAUUUUUAUUUUCUUUUCAAGAUAGCAUGAUUUAACUAAUAAUCUAUUUAAGGAAAGUAAAUAAUUAAAGGGAAAAGGGAAUGCAGAAAGGAUAAAUAUGGAUAACUACCGAUCUUACCUUUCGGCGAGGGUUCAAUGUUUUAAGUCUUCUUAACAAGACUUCUCACCGUGUUCAUUCUUCAGGUGCGUCAUUUGGUUCAGCUGCGGACCUUGACGUCUGCACCUCUUCGUUUGCCCAGCAGUUCGAAGUGCGGCGUUGGCAGUAUCUUGCUCAGUGUGUUUGUGCUCGUAGAUCCAAGUCCUUCACUUGGUAGAGUCUGAGAGUUAUAAAACUCCUCCAAGUUUUGCUCGAAGUGUACCUGCUCAUAGAGACAAGGCAGAGAUCAAGUGCAUGGGUCCUGUUGGUGGAAAACACCAACAGAACCUAAAGUGUAUUUGUUCUUCUCUAACCCUAAGCAUAGUGAGCAAGACAAAGUUGAUGGAUGAAAAGUUCAUGAGUGUAGCACUUAUAACAUUUGUCAGAUCAGAUCGCUCAACCUUAUGGAAAGAUAAUCUAUCUAUGUAUAUGUCUUUUUCUUUAUAUCUCUCAAUGAUUGAAUGUGUAACAUUUUAGCUCAUAUGAUUAGGAGUGUGGGAUCAUGGAGGUAGUACUAAGAACAAGGAUUAAAGGACUAAACAUGUUGAAUCAGUUGGGUUGGUUAAUCUAGAGUUGUAAAUCAUACGUGUUUGUCUCUUUUAUUUAUAUGAACGCCAGAACCAAGGAGAAGCUUAUAAAAGUGAUAGUCAAGUACCUUAAGAUGUUACCUUGCUUGAAGAGUGAUGGUACAAUAUCACCUUGUGGAAGCUUUCCUUUCUUAGCGGUUGUGCAUCGUGUUUGUGGCACCCUCCAUGGAUCAUCUCUCUAUGAUGAAUGAGCUAUGUCCUUCUUGUGUAAAUUGUUAAACUUCAUGUGUCACUCUCUUCGUCUCUAAUGUGAGUUUAUCUCAGGACUUCCCAAAUCGAUAUUGAAAGUUUUUCUGCAGGGGUUAGUCCGACAAAAAUAUACCAAUGUCUACACAAGGAGUUUUUAGUUCAAUAACCGAACUAGAGUCCAUGUCUAAUCAGAUUAAGGAAGGCUGUUUAACCUAAGCACCAUGCUUAAUUUAAAAGCCAAUAGAAGUAUGUGCAGUACUUCCAAACUAACACUUACUAGUAAAUAGACAAAGGUAACAUGACAACAUUUAUAGAGAUCUACUUAAGUGGAGAUGAAGUAGUGUGAUUAGUAUUUAACAAAUUGAGCAUGUCUUAAAGGUAGGGACAACCAACAUAGCAACAUGGCAAAGGAUGUUUUUAUGUAAAGUACUCCCCCAAGCUUGAAUUUUGCAGAAUUCAAGUUUGGAUGAAUUUAAUUCAGUGUUGCAUGAUGAUUGGUUGGAUAUACCUUGUACUUGCUUGUCAUUCAUCUGAUCUUCUUGUUCCAAUCCUGGAAAGGUUAGUGACAAGAAUACCCGAAGGAAUAUUUUUACAAUUAUCCUUAUACGCUCAAUACACAAGGUAAUGUUGCAAAUAAUUAAAAACUCAUGUUAUGAUCUGAUCAAUGCUUAUUUUAGGACACCAAGCUUGUCCUUGGGAAACCAUCAAUUUAUGUCGGCGAAGUGGUUUCCCUUCCAACGCUGACCUAAAUCAAGAUCAACUCAACGAGAUCUGCAAUAUUUAUUAUAGAAAUAUGCAUCGACAACCGCCCUUUUAAAGUUUUUAUAAAUAGAAAGGAAGAGGGGGUUGGAGAUCUCAAAUGUGGUGAUGUUGGAGAGACCAAUAGAUUGGGAAGAUGUUGCAUAUGAGCAUGGAGUGAAUGAAGUGGCUAUGAAAUAAAUUCCAUGCUUAUUAAUGUUAUCUUCGUCUCCAAUCUGAAUAUUUGGAGUUUCUCCUGGAUUGGUCUCACCUAUGUCCUCUUCUGUAGUUGGAUGAAUCUCAUCUUCAAAGGGAGUCAAGAACUCAUCAUUUGAAAUUGAGCCAAAGUUAGAAUCCAUUAAUGCUUCUUCCUUAUCCAUCCAUUCUACACAUUCUAGCCAUUUGGAACUUGUGAUCAGGAAAGGGGAGCUGAUAGAAUUUUCAAUAUGGCUUAGCUCUCCUUCACUUGAUAUGUCAUCCUCGACUUCUUCAUAACAGGAACCAGGACAUUCUCUAAGAGAACCAUUAUUGCGAGGAUUUGAAUUAUCCCUGCUUGAAGGUCUCUUAUGGAACCAGAAGUCUAAACCAUCUGCAUCUGAAAGAUUUAAGGUCGGAAUUCCUUCCUCCCUUGGAGAAUUUUGGGGUAUUGAUGGUUUAGGAUGGAUAGCUAAAGUUUGGAAUUGAAGUGGUUGUGAUCUGGCUAUCGAAACUUCUUCUUCUUGUCUAGGAACUGGUUCUGUCUCUUUCUCAGGGAUAUAAAAGCUAGGAGACUUUCCACUUAAUAAAUCAAUCAAAUUCCAAGCUUCACUAGCAGGUAGGUGAUAGAAGGAUCCUCUAGAGGCUGUAUUCAAUGUUUGCUUAUUUUCCAUACUAAGGCCUGUUGACGGUUCUUAAGUAUCAAUUUUAAUUAUCAAAUAAACAAGGGAAAGGACCAAUAUGCAACCAACACUUAGAAUUAGGGUUUGAUCUGACAGAAUUCCAUGAGUUUUGUUGUUUAUCUGUUUCUGCAGGGGGUUAUCAGGAAAUAAGGAAGAAAGACCGACAUGUCGGGAUUACAUAGAGAUAUCAAUGCACCGCACGAUUUUUUACCAUCUAGAAGACUCCAGAAGCCACGGGAAGAAGACGGAGGCCGAAAGGGGCCAGGCCCAGGGCGCCCGCCCUGGUGACCUGGGCGCCCGCCCCCUGCUGGAGUGCUUUCAGAACUCUCUUCGCACGGGAUAUUCCACCGACCUAUUGGAUCAAAGAAAAAAUAGUACCACCUCGUCUACCGACCCAAAAACGCAUAGAAGGGGAGGACUAUAUAAGGAGAUCCCCUGGACCCUGGAGAAGACAUGAAGAAAUUAUCAUAGAGACUGAGGGGUGCCCUCGAAGGAAAACCUCUUCUCUAAUUAAUAUUUCUUUUUAGGCUUAGCAACCAAUGUAAGGAAGAAAUAGAUCUUCUAGUUUCUACUAGAUUGAUAGAGAUAGAGUGGAGGUGUAGAUUGGAGGAAGCCCGGCCUGUCGGUGUCUACUCCAAGCUUGUACCUGCGGGAUCAAGUUCUCCUAACCCGAAGCUUGCUCCUAGGAUUCUUCAGUAUUUCGACUUCUAAAUUCUAGUAAGUUCUUGUUUUAUUGUUAUUAUGGUUUAUGAGUUUACUUUAAUCUCUUCGCGUAGAGUUUAGAGUAAUCAUUGCUGGCAUAAACGUGGUGUUUAGGCUGGGGUACUCAUAGAUAUUCCCUGACUAGCUGGACCGUGGUAGUAGUGAGGAACGUGACAAUUCCGAGUUACCUUUGUAGAUCACAUCUCGUUAGCAGGAAGAAUAGGGUUUAUAGGUGCGGGUUGAACAUCCUUUGUGGUGUCUAGAUUCCGUUAGCCUCCCCAUUAGAACAGUAGAUUAUCCUUACCAAGGUUAGAAGGAGACUACGGUUGCAGUCUUCUCUAUUUAUCACUCACAUCGAAAGACAUUCUUUGUGCCUAAAGGUUAGUAGUAAUAGACUGGUUAGUCAGAUGCACUCUUUCUCCUAGUGGUAAAAAAAUAAAUACGAUACUCUGGAUAAUUUCCCGGGUGAAGUGCUCACCGAUAUCCGUGCGCUUGCGGAUCAAUUCCUUAUUACGUUCCCAAAUAUCAACAAGGCCCUCAAAAAAGUGAAUUAGAAGAACUUCUUGUGAAAUAGAAAGCUUUGGGCCAGUCAGAGUAAGGUUAAUAAAGCGGUCCCAUGAUUUGCCAAGAGAUUCUUCUUCCUGUUGUCUAAAAGAAAGAAUCUCACGCCGAAGUUCCACCACUUUGGAGAUUGGAAAAUAUUUAAAAAGAAAACUAUUAUGUAACUCCUUCCAAUCUCCAUGAACACUCCCUACUUUGAGUUUAUACCAAUGUCUAGCUUUUCCUGUUAAAGAGAACGGAAAGAGCUUCCAUUUAAGGGUCUCAUCGGACAUGCCUUCUAUGCGAAGGAGGUCACAGACUCUAUAAAACUCUCUUAGGUGUGUGUAUGGGUUUUCCUCACCUUCUCCUGAGAAAGGUUGUUUUUGAACAAAUUCUAUGUAUUCGGGGUCUAUCUCAAAACUAGAUGCUAUGAUAGGCUUUGAAGAUUUUGGCGGUUCGAGAUGUGUGCCCGUAGGUCUAUGAAAUUCAUAGAUAGACAUGUUUGAAUUUAUGAUAGACCAGAGAUCAAGGAUUAGAUAAGAAGAAAGAUUAGCAGAGAUGAGGCAAAGGAUAAAAGGAAAAUAUAUAUUUUUUUUAGAAAAUGAUUAAGCUAGUUCGUAGUCAACUCAGCAACCGUUUCCCCGACAACGGCGCCAAAAAUGCUUGUUGACACUUGCUAACACCACUUGAAUACUAGGUUGUCAUCCCCAGCAUGGCACUAGAGUGUACUAUGGUAUUUAUACGCACACAGAUAAUCCGCAAGCGCACGGAUACCGUUGAAUGUUUUACCCGGUUAGAGGUUUUAUCGUAUCCACAGGGAAACGGGAGAACUGAUCUACGCUCUAACUUAACCAAGAUAAGUAAAUAGGUGUAAAUAGGAAAGAUGGUAGAAUCGAAUAAUAACAAUAUUAAAGGUAAGAUAACAGUGAGUGAUAAUAUGGGAAUAGAGAGUAGAGCAAUCUAGUAUAUGGGCGAUGGUAGUAGAAUAGAGAGGAUAACUAUGGUUUCUCUACUUCAAAGGGGUAUGUCUAUGUCUGGGACGAACCAUGUGAUAAGAGUACACCACAAAGGAUGCUUAUCCUUAGGCCGAUAAACCCUACCCAUUGUUGACGGUCCUUAAGUAUCAAAUUUAAUUAUCAAAUAAACAAAGAAAAGGAUCCAAAUGAAAUCAACAUCCAGACUUAGGGUUUUAUCUGAUAGAAUUCCACGAGUUUUGGUGUUUGUCUAUUUCUGCAGGGGGUUAUCAGGAAAUAAGGAAGAAAGGCCCACAUGUCAGGAUUACAUAGAGAUAUCAACGCACCGCGCAAUUUUCUACCAUCUAGAAGACUCCAGAAGCCACGGGAAGGAAGCGGAGCCCGAAAGGGGCCAGGCCCAGGGCGCCCGCCCUGAGGACCUGGGCGCCCGCCCCCUGUUGGAUGCCAAUCCGGACUCUCUUCACUCGGGAUGUUCCACCGACCUAUUGGAUCAAGAAAAACAUAGUACCACCUCGCCUACCGACCUAAAAACGCAUAGAAGAGGAGGACUAUAUAAGGAGACCCCCCUGGCCCCUGGAGGAGAGAAGAAAUUAUCAUAGAGAUUGAGGGGUGCCCUCGAAGGAAAACCUCUUCUCUAAUUAAUAUUUAUUUUUAGGCUUAGCAACCAAUGUAAGGUAGAAAUAUAUCUUCUAGUUUCUACUAGAUUGAGAGAGAUAGAGUGGAGGUGUAGAUUGGAGGAAGCCCGGCCUGUCGGUGUCUACUCCAAGCUUGUACCUGCGGGAUCAAGUUCUCCUAACCCGAAGCUUGCUCCUAGGAUUCUUCAGUAUUUCGACUUCUAAAUUCUAGUAAGUUCUUGUUUUAUUGUUCUUCUGGUUUAUGAGUUUACUUUAAUCUCUUCGCGUAGAGUUUAGAGUAAUCAUUACUGGCGUAAACGUGGUGUUUAGGCUGGGGUACUCAUAGAUAUUCCCUGACUAGCUGGACCGUGGUAGUAGUGAGGAACGUGACAAUUCCGAGUUACCUUUGUAGAUCACAUCUCAUUAGCAGGAAGGAUAGGGUUUAUAGGUGCGGGUUGAACAUCCUUUGUGGUGUCUAGAUUCCGUUAGCCUCCCCAUUAGAACAGUAGAUCAUCCUUACCAAGGUUAGAAGGAGACUACGGUUGCAGUCUUCUCUAUUUAUCACUCACAUCGAAGGACAUUCUUUGUGCCUAAAGGGAUAGUAGCAAUAGAUUUGGUUAGUCAGAUGCACCCUUUCUCCCAGUGGUAAAAAAUAUAAAUACGAUAACUCUAGAUAACCUCCCGGGUGAAAUGCUCACCGAUAUCCAUGCGCUUGCGGAUCGUUUCCUUAUUGCGUUACCAAAUACAACAAGCAUUUCUGGCGCCGUUGCCGGGGAGAAAGACGGUUUGCUGAGAUAACUUUGAGUCUUGCUAUUAUCUUGUAUUAUACUUUUAUACUUUUAUUCUUUUAUCUUUUUAUUUUUAUCUUUAUGGAUAACUCAAAUUCCAUACCUAUUAUUAAAUUCUUUGCACCUUCGGAGACCAGCCAUAGACCAUGGGAGUCAACACGUCCUGCCCCUAAUUAUGAUCUGUGUCCGGAGUUGAUUGCAAUAGGUCAAAACCAACCCUUUUCUAUAGCUGAGGUCCUAUCUUUUAAUCAAAAAGAUAAUGCACUUUUAACUACACCUAGGGAAUCUUUUAAUCUUUCUAUAAAUUCUGGUUUAGACCUAGCCCUACAAGACCAUGUUUUUCCUAGAUAUUUUCACAUUGGUCUUAAUCAUAUAACCUUUGGUAGAGUCUUUCUUUCUUUAUCUAUUAGUAAAGGAAGGUAUGUCUUCAUUCGUAGACAUCCUUCUUGCACUAGUCUUCAUAGAAAAAUCUUAGAGAUAGAGAAGGAAUCAUCUCCCAUACAAGGAGAGGAAGUUUCAAUAGCCGAUUUCCAAACAUUUCAAUCCCAUGAUUCGGCUAUCCAACCCAUCCUUGAGCUUAAUAAUUUCUACUAUGCUUUUUCUCUUGAACCUCCCGAUAAUCCUAUGAAUCUCUCUAGACAUCCCAUGCAUAAGAAGGAGGAUCGAGAAGAGCAACAUCAAUGGCUAGAGGGCAUUAAAAAUCCAUGUGCUAUCACCAUUGAAUGGAUAGAUAAAACAAACUUGAGAGACAAUCCUAGAGGAAUUUUAAGCAUUUAUGAAGAAUCAUCCUUGGAGUUUAAGAAUGAGAGAAACAACAGUGAGCAAGGAAGUUAUUUCAUAAAUACCUCACCCAGUCCUUGCUCAUACAAAACAUCUCUCCAAUCAAUUUGUCUCUCUAUCCUUACCACAUUUGAGAUCUCCAACCCCCUGUUCCUCUUCAUUUAUAAAAACCUUAAAAGGGCGGUUGUCGAUGCAUAUGUCUAUAAUAAAUAUUGCAGAUCUCUUUGAGUUGAUCUUGAUAUAGGUAGGUGUUGGAGGGGAAACCACUUCACCAACAUAACUUGAUGGUUUCCCAAGGACAAGCUUAGUGUCCUAAAACAAGCACUUAUCAGAUCAUAACAUGAACUUCUAAUUAUUUGCAACAUUGCCUUGUGUAUUGAGCAUAUAAAGAUAAAUGUAGAAAUAUUCCUUCGGGUAUUCUUGUCACUAACCUUUCCAGGAUUGGAGCAAGAAGAUCGGAUGAAUGACAAGCACAGGGUAUGUCCAACCAACCAUCACACAACAUUGAAUUAAAUUCAUCCAAACUUGAAUUUUGUAAAAUUCAAGCUUGGGGGAGUACUUUACAUAAAAACAUCUUUUGCCAUGUUGCUACGUUGGUUGUCUUUACCUUUGAGACAUGCUCAAUUUGUUAAAUACUAAUUACACUACUUCAUCUCCACUUAAGUAGAUCUCUAUAAAUGCUCUCAUGCUACCUUUAUUUGCUUUAGUAUAUGUCUAGGUUUGGAAUAGUUUCAUUUAUCUCUUAAUUAAGCAUGGUGCUUAGUUUAGGAAUGAUGAUCUUACUUCCAAGGGAUUUUAAAUUAAGCAUGGUGCUUAGGUUAAAAUGCCCUUCUAAAUCAAAUUAGACAUGGUGUCUAGGUUGAUUUUUAAGCCGAUAGUAUGCUAUAGUAGAUAUGGGAUAUUUUGUUGGACUAACCCCUGCAGGAAAACUUUCAAUAUCAACCUAGGAAGUCCUAAGAUAAACUCGCAUUGGAGAUGAAGAAAGUGACACAUGAAGUUUAACAAUUUGCACAAGAAAGACGUGGCUCAUAAGAGAUGAUUCAUGGAGGGUGCCACAAACACGAUGCACAACCGCUAAGAAAGGAAAGCUUCCACAAGGUGAUACUGUACCGUCACUCUUCAAGUAAGGUAACACCUUAAGGUACUUGACUAUCGCUUUUAUAAGCUUCUCCUUGGUUCUAGCAUUCACAUAAAUAAAGAGACAAACAUGUAUGAUUUAUAACUCCAGAUUAACCAACUCAAUUAAUUCAACAUGUUUAGUCCUUUAAUCUUUGUUCUUAGUACUACCUUCGUGAUCCCACGCUCCUAAACAUAUAAGCUAAUAUGUUGCACAUUCAAUAUUUGGAAGAUAUAAACAAAACAUAAAUAUAGAUAGAUUAUCUUUCCAUUAGGUUGAGCCAUCUGAUCUGACAAAUGUUUCAAAUACUACACUCAUGAUCUUAUUAUCCAUCAACUUUGUCUUGCUCACUAUGCUUAAGGUUAGAGAAAAACAAAUACACUUUUGGUUCUGUUGGUGUUUUCCACCAACAGAGCCCAUGCACUUGAUCUCUGCCUUGUCUCUAUGAACAGGUACACUUCAAGCAAAACAUAGAGGAGUUUUACAACUCCCAGACUCCACCAAGUAAAGGACCUGGAUCUAUGAGCACAAACACACUGAGCAGGAUAUUGCCAACACCAUACUUCAAACUGCUGGGCAAAGAAGAACAUGGGUGACACCGUAUCAAGAGGUGCAGACGUCAAGGUCCACACCUAAUCAAAUGAUGCACCUAAAGGAUGAAGAUGGUGGAAAGUCUUGUCCAGAAGACUUAAAACAUUGGAUCCUUGUCGGAAGAGGUCAACAUCGUCGACUCAAGUCACCUUUCUUGAUCAAGAAGGACGACCCUGGUGUUCCAAGCAUCGAGUGCGCAAUCAAUGGAUACUCUUUUCAGAAGACACUCUACAACACCGGAUCUGACGACAACAUAAUGGCCGCAGUCACUUAUCAGCUCCUGCAUGGAACCAUGCCCCUACAACCAAUAUAUUCAGCUCCAGAUGAUUUUCAGGUUAUUGACAUGGGAGAAGACGAAUAUGAUCCACCCACCAUCCUUGGAAGACCGUUCCUCAACACUAUCAAAGCAAUCAUCUACAUUGGAACCAGAGAAGUCCACAUGUACUUCCCCUCUGAGAAGGUACGCAACUAUUUUACUGACCAUAACUAUAUAGUUGAAGAUUCUAAGCAGGUCAGGACAAGAAGACGACACAACCGCAACCAAGAGGAGGCAAAUCAUCAAGAACGGAUGGGUAGACUACGAAGGAAAAGUGAUAAGGACUGAAAUCAUACAGCUUGAACAGAACUGUCCUGAGGAGACCGUAGCACCGAGUCAGGUAUGGAGGGAGAAGAUAGUUAUACACGAAGAGAGACGCCGCCGGAAUCACCGACUACGCCACCUAGCGAAUCCCAGGACGACUGAGAAAACAGAGAGUCCCGUUCGGAGGACAUAAAAAUAUCGAACGCCUUGCCAAGAGGUAAACUUGGUAGUUACCCUUUCCUUUUAAUUAUUCAAUUAUAAUUUGCUUAGUUAAUCAGGUUCAUGCUAUCUUGAAAAGAAAAUAAAAAUGUUAAAAAAUAGUAAGCCCCAUGUGAGUAUGCUCAUGGCAUAAAACCCAUAAGUACAUUCACUGUGGUGGCAUAAAAAUAAAAUAAAUAAGUUUUCAUCUUACAAUAAAAAAAUAUAUAAAUAUAUAUAUAUAUAUAAUAAUAAGUGUAUGAUCCUGCUAAAUAAAUAACAUUUAUUAAAGAAGCUCAACAUGAUGAAGGCUAGAUAUUUAUGCUAACACUUAAUUAGUUCCACAAGCUUUGUUGUCUAUUUGAGCUCCACAGAAUUUAAGAAUCAAGAAGACUAGCAGACAGAGGACAUUCUAAUCGCUGUCAGAAUGCUGCUGACUUUCAAAUACACCUCUGCCACCUGCUAGCUACAUCAAGAGAAAUUACGUCAAAAUUCAGCUUGGGGGAGAGCACCCCCAUUAUUCUCGCUAAGUAUUUCUACCUAUCUUUAUACUUAUAUUAUGUUAGAAUAUUAAAAUACAUAAACUAUGAAAAACCAAAUAAAGAUUUUGUGCUUAUAUAUAUCUUUUGCUUAGUAUGUUUAAUAAAUAAAUAAAGUGGCUAUGCUAAUCUGAAUCUUAAUAAUAAAACUCUAGCAUGGAUAUGAUGAAUAGUUGCUCUACCUAAUUUGCAAUUUUGAAGUUCCCUCUCAAGUUUAGACAUAACUGUUAUAAUUUAAAGCUUGCUCUAGAUCUAAACUUGUGGGAUGAAAACUUGAUCUGAAAUCUGAGUUGUUAACGGAUAUGAUAUGGGAAGGUUGAGCUGCUGUUUAUCUGUUCCUAGAGAUGCUAGAAUUCUAGAGAAUUUAUCUUUGAAAAAUCUUUAAAAUAUUGCAUGAUGAGUUCCUGUAUGAUGAGAGUUUAAAUUCCUACCACAGCCAUAUAUACAUGCUUGCUAAACUUUGAGCCACACAUUUACUAUUUACUGCUUAUGAGCAUUGAGUGUGGUCAAGCUGUGUAGACCCUUAGGAGCUUGUCAUGUGGUUAAAUCAAGAUUCACUUGCACGUUCACUCAUAUAUGCUACUUCUACUCCGGAAGUACCAUCCACAUAUAUCCAUCCAUUUCUAUCUCCACCCAAAAAUAUUCUACUCCUAAUCCGGGAGAGAAUAGUCAAAAACAUUUUCCUAUCCCUGUUAUUCCCUGUGAAAUAAAUGCUCCAAAUAUUUUGGUUACUACCACUUGCUAUAUUAUCUCAAGAGAUGAGUGCUCUGAAAAAAAAGAAAGAAAAGAGAAGAAAAAAAUAUAUAUAUAAACGAGGAAAUAAAAAGGAGGCAAGUGCCCGGAACCUCGAAAGAAAGAAAAAGUGAGACGAGAGGUAAAAAUGGACAAGUGUCCGACAGUAAAAUUAGAGGUACAAGAUACCCACCUGAGAGGAAAGAAAAAGAAGAGCAUCUCAUUCUCCUCAUAAAGUUUCAAAAAGCAAGGAAGGUAUGUAUCCCCUCAAAAGAGCAAAAGUAGAAUUAGACUUUCACCAUUGUUAUUACCAUCAUCACCAUACACCAUUCAUUCGCCACACAUGCACAUCUUGAUUUGGCUUAUUGAUUUGUUUGUCUGGAUCCAUGGUUUGACUAUGCAAUAAAUGUCUUGUAAGUAUGUAUUAGCUGUCUCCCACCUAUGAGCUCCAGAUAUCAAGCCUUAUUAGAGUAGGGUGAGAGAGAAGGCAAUGUCACUAUGCCUUAUACCACAAAUACCACAUAUCUUGAGAGAAGGCAUAUACCAUCAAUGCCUUGGUAAGGAUCCAGAAAUACCAUAAAAGAGAGAUGAGAGAGUCAUACAAGGAAUCUCUGAGUUUUAUUUGAAAUCUGCAAAAAAAACCCCAGAGCUAUAGCUGAUCAAGAAUAAGAGACAUGGCACUUGGCUAGACUAUUCUAUCUUUUAACCUCUCAAGACAGAAGUGACAGUUACAAGUCCCAUGGUGAAGGUAAAGUAAGUAAGUUUUAAGUCUUGACAGUUUACUCUAACUUAGAGAUGAGAUCUUAUUUAAAAAGCAUGUGUACCGUCAAUUUUUAAAGAUAUUGCAACAACUUCUAAUCCAUUGCUGAGUCUAUCCUUGC